AAUUCUUGAAAGGAAAGAGUGCAGCUGAACCUCUUGAUCGACCAGAUAAUCAAAACUCCCUCUUACAUUUGAGUGGCUCCUUUUGACAAUACAGAUUGAAGGUAUGUUACUGAGCAACUGUCAUGUGGGGUUUGGGGCUGAAGGUAGAUAGCCAUGCCAUUUUGGACUUGAAGCGGACAUUAACCAUUAGCAAAAGAGGGAAUGGAUAACUUUGGAUUUCAUGUCUGGAGGAUAACACACAGUUAUAGCACAUCUAGAUGUGCUUUAGCAAAACUGUAACACAUAUUCUGGGCGAUUCAUUUGAGCGCAUGGUCUUGCGGAUUGCUUGUUCUUCAGCAUCGUCAGUGUCCCAAGUCCUUCUCUCAUAGCAGUCGCGGUUUCUUCUCUUCUGCAGUGGUGUGAGGCUUGCUAAUUCAGCAGAGCGGUUCCUCAUAGUCUGUGGUUGGUGUCUCUAUGUUGAGCUUGGCGUGUAUUCGCUUGUGCUGGUUUUCGCUUGGUUCUCCGUAAUUAAUUGAGCAACUCUCUUCUUCUUAAUUAAUAAUAAAAAAAGCAAAAGCUUUUGCCUCGGUUAAAAAAACGAAAAUGUUUCCUUUUUCAACUAAUCCAAAAUAAAAUUUGUUCACCGGUGUUGGCCUAUCUUUGUAUUUCGCUCAAUAACGGUGUGUUUGUGUAUGGCUUGACUUUUCUUUGCCUUUAUUGCAUCUAUUUUCCACGAGAAAUUUGAUGAAAAAUAACAAAUUUAUUUUGCCUUUGGCAGAGUAACCAGUGUUCGCCGACUAGCCCGCGCUCGCAAAGAACUCACACACCCGCACUCUCUCUGAUCACGAUUAGAAAUCGGAGUUGGGUUCCCAUCCUAGCCAAGGGCAGCCCGGCGAUCCCCGGGUUCGACACCCGCACGAUGGCGGCGAUGGCGUGCCCGCUCCCCGAGACGACCCACGGCAUGACCUCCAAGCCCUUCUAUGCGUCAGCCGCCGGCGACAGGCUCUUCGUCAUGGCCUACCGGUAUAUCGAGGAACUCGGCCCGCGGCCGCCGCCCGACGACGACAAGCCCCCGCCCGCCUGGUCCUGGUCCGGGAUCGACAACGACGCCGACCCACCCUUCUGCCCCCAGUACGUCACCUGCCACGCGCGGCACCCGGACGGGCGCACCGUGUUCGCGUCGGUCGUAGGGUGGCGGCCCGGCAUCGCGCAGGUCCGCCAGCGGAAUCAGAUCCUAUGGAUCAGCACGGUUAGAUCUUUCCGGUACACCUACCUUCUCCUGGUCCAGAUGAGGAACUCUCGGUGCCGGUGACAGUGACCGGUGAUGGCAGUGAGUGGAUGGUGGUGGUAGUGGAGCUUCCCGUGAGCACCGCGCUAACCCUAGAUCGGUAGGGAAUAUCGGUGGGGUUUGCGGCAUCAAUUAACCUUGUGAGUCGUGCCCCGGCCCCCACCUCUGUUUAUAUAGCGCGGGUCACAGGGGCCCACCAACCAUAAUGGGUUGGGCGCCCCCGAUCAGGGCGCAUUGACCAAAGGCCUGGCAGGCCGUUGGCCCUGCAUAGAGGAGAUCAACCUAACAUUCUCCCCCUUGAUCUCAACUUUACUUUUAACUUUAUACUUUCUAGUUUAUUUGUUUCAUCACAUAUUGGUACAUAGAGCAUGUUUCAUCGUAACAGCUCAAUUGCCGAUAGAAUCAUACAGCUACAACAUACGUUAUGUUCAGAAACAAAUUCUGUUCCUUUUGGGCCUAUCCAGAAAUCAUAAGGCUUUCCCUUAAACCCAUGCCGGCUAAGUGUUCCUUAAACACAUUGGGUGGUAAGCCUUUCAUUAGCGGAUCCGCAAGCAUAUCCUUUGUCCUUAUAUGCUCGAGACUUAUAGUUUGAUCCUGGAUUUUAUCUUUCACAACAUAAUACCUUAUCUCUAUUGUUUUGGCAGCAUUACUCGACUUGUUGCUGUGAGCGUAAAAUACUGCGGGUUGGUUGUCGCAGUACAUCUUUAGUGGUUUGUGAAUACAAUCUACCAGUUUCAAGUCGGAUACAAAUUUCUUUAGCCAUAACGCCUGCCCCGUGGCUUCGAAGCAUGCUAUGAAUUCUGCAUACAUCGUGGAUGAUGCAACUAUCGACUGUUUGGAGCUUUUCCACGAAAUAGCUCCCCAGCGAGAGUGAAGACGUAUCCUAACGUGGAUUUUCUAUCAUCUCUGUACCCCACAAAAUCUGCGUCUGAAUACCCUUUUAUCUCUAGGGAAUCACUUCUCCUGUAUAUUAGCAUGUAGUCCUUCGUGCCUUGCGCAUAACGCAAUGCUUUCUUUACCAUCUUCCAGUGCUCCAUGCCUGGAUUCUCUUGAUAUCUACCGAGUCCCCCGGUGAUAAAAGCUAAGUCAGGGCAAGUGCACACUUGUGCAUACUGUAAGCUGCCAACUGUCGAAGCAUAUGGUACUGCUUUUAUUUGACCGAUCUCGUACUGGUUCUUGGGACAUUGGAAUUUCCCAAAACUAUCGCCCUUAACUAUAGGAGCAGGUGUGGCUUUACUCGCAUGCAUAUUAUACUUUUUAAGAAACUUUUCUAAAUAUGCUUUCUGCGACAGUCCUAAAACUCCAUUGUUCCUAUCUCGAUGAAUUUCUAAGCCCAAAACAUAUGAUGCUUCACCAAGAUCUGUUAUGUCAAAAUUUGAGGAUAAGAACUUCUUUGUUUCUUGUAGUAGACUAAUAUCACUGCUAGCAAGCAGGAUAUCAUCCACAUACAAGAUCGGGAAAAAAAAUCCCAUUUUUAAACUUUGCAUAAAUGCAGUUAUCCUCAAUAUUUUCUUUAAAUCCAAAACUUUUAAUCAUUUGAUUAAACUUUAGAUACCACUGCCAAGAGGCUUGUCUUAAUCCAUAAAUGGAUUUCUUCAGGCGGCAUCCCAUAUUUUUCUUGCCUUCCAUGAUAAAACCCGUAGGCUGUUUCAUGUAGACAUUUUCUUUUAAAUCCCCAUUGAGAAAUGUCGUCUUAACAUCCAUUUGAUGUAACUCUAGAUCAAAAUGAGCAACUAAUGCCAUUAUGAUUCUGAAGGAAUCCUUACAUGAGACGGGAGAAAAUGUCUCAUUGUAAUCUAUCCCUUCUCUUUGUGUAAAUCCUUUUGCCACGAGUCGUGCUUUAUACUUUUCUAUAUUCCCUUUAGAUUCAUACUUAAUUUUGUAGACCCAUUUACAGCCUACUGUUUUGCCUCCUUUAGGAAUUUCCUCUAAGUCCCAAACAUCUUUGGAACUCAUCGAUUUCAUUGAGUCUUCCAUUGCCUUCAUCCACUUCAAUGAAUGAGGGCUUCUCAUGGCUUCUUCAUAUGAGGUGGGAUCUUUUUCCAUAUGGACUGUUUUUGUGUUAUAAACUUUAAAGUCAGUAGAAAUAGCUGACUUUCUUGGUCUUGUAGACCUUCUAAGGGCCUCAGUUUCUGGCACAUUCUGUGCCUCAACUUCUGGCACUUCUUCUAAAAUUUACUGCUGCACCUUCCUUUCAUGCUCAACAACGGGUUCAGUCGGCUCCUGACAGACAGGUUCCGGGUCUACUCCCAUAGUUGUCAUGGGUGGAGUUGCAACUGGUAGUGAGAAAAAUGGCUCUUGAAUCAUCGGAUUAGGUGCAUGCACCCUCUUCUCCUCAAGAUCAAUUUUCCGAGCUACCAAGCUCCCCCUCAUCAUUUCGUCCUCUAAGAAGACUGCAUGUCUCGUUUCUACAAACUUUGUAUAUCUGUCUGGGUAGUAGAAACAAAAACCCUUUGAUCUGUCUGGAUAGCCAAUGAAGUGGCAACUCACUAUUUUGGGAUCUAACUUUGCAAUGUUUGGAUUAACCAUUUUGACCUCAGCAGGGCACCCCCACACCCUGAAGUGUUGUAGGGAGGGCACCCUUCCUGUCCAUAGCUCGUACGGUGUUUUAGGCACCGACUUGCUUGGCACUCUAUUGAGAAUGUGAAUGGCGGUUUUAAGCCUCUCCAUCCAUAAUCCCAAUGGCAAGUUGGAAUAACUCAUCAUGCUGCGCACCGUAUCCAUAGGUGUACGGUUGCGCCUUUCAGCUACUCCAUUCUUUUCUCCCAUAGUGGGAUACAUUUAAAGCACAUGAGUUAUCAUAUCUUUCUCUUGCCAGAAUUUCUCCUGCCAUACGGGAUUUUGACAUAAUAUUAUGUCAGCUUUACCUUGUUACGCAGGUAUUUUCCCAGACUUUUCCCGCCAUGCAGGUUUUAUCAUAAUCAUCUUUUUCCGCCAUGCGGGUAAGUCCCUGUAAGGGAACAUUGCCAGAAUUGGCUCUUCUGAUUGCAUAUUCAAUCAUCAAAUUUAGGAAUAAAUCUGAAUGGUCUUUGACACACAUGCUUGAUCCGACGUUGGUCAAAUUAAACACACAUGUUGCUUGUUUCAUCUCAAAUCAUGUUGACUGAGAAAUCUUCUUCAUAGAGAGCACAUGAAAGACAUUCAUCAACCAACACUCUCAAUGAUCUAUCUUUUUUCUUUUGAUGCCAUUCUUUAGAGAGAACAUACUCCCUCAUGUUAUGACCUUUCCUGGUCAUCUUUCGGGUCACAAGUACCCAGCCAUUCGCUUUCACGAAUGAAAGCAUGAAAAACUUUUAGUCUGAGAAAACAUAGCCAAUAAUCAACAAUAAUGAGCAUAAAAAUAACCCUACGUUGGUCUGGUAAAAAAAUAUGCAUAUUAAACUUUUGUAAAACUUCCUUUUUAUACUCUAAAUCACCGUUGUGGUAGAAUUAGAAUAAAACUCAUUCUUCAACAUUAAUUCCAUAUCACCGUUGGGCGGAAAUGGAAAUAAUGCAUAUAACUCAUAAACAAUGUGAUGAUAGUAUUUCUAUUAAACAACUUUGCUAAGAAAUAAUCAUCAUCAUCAACUUUAUUGCAGCGGGAACAAGAAAUAUACAUUUCUCUAGUUCAAGAGCAUUUCUUGAUCUUUAUCCGUUCUCUGAAAAUUGAUCACUUUGAUACAAAAUUUAUCAGAGAUUUAAACUUUGAACAUAAGACUCAUAGAAUUAUAGCAUUGUUAUGAUCAACGUUGGUCAGAAAAUAACAAUACCAUAUUUUCUUUUGUCAUAGCGGAAACUAUCUGCAUCUUAUUUCACCCAUAGGGGGAAAACAUUGCUAAGAACAUUUCUUCCAAUUAAAUUUUCCCGUUGGUUCCAAUUUAAUUGGAGGAUAAAACUUUUACUUUGCAACGGAAACUUUAGAAUAUUCUAUUACAAAACAAUUCUCUACUCUUUUACUCUCUAAGCAAUUUUAACCGCUUGGUUCAAAAAUGCAUUAGAGAACCAACAAUUUAAUCUUUUUUUAGUUCUAUUAACUUUUAAAAGAGCAAUUUUAUUUUCAAUAAUAAAACAUGAUCAUGUUAUUAACAACGUUGGUCGUAAAAAUAACAUAAUCAUUUCAUUUCAGUAAUUACUUUAAUAUGCUCUUUAAAUAUAAUUCUAUCUAAACUUUUAUUUUCUUUGUAAAAGAGCACUAUUAAUUGUUUACGCAGCGGAAAAACAUGAAAACAAAUUCAUGAUCUUUUUUAUUUUUCUUUAUAAAAUUCAUGAACUUUUCUUUCUUUCUUUUUCUGAAAACUUUCUAUUUUCAUUUUCAGAACUUUUUUUUGUUUACCUUUUUUUCCCCUAAAGAAAAAUUCAUGAACUUUAUUAUUUUCUUUGUAAAGUUCAUGAACAUUUCUUUUUCUGCUUACUUUUAUAUUUUCUAAGACAAAAUUUUUGUUGGGAAAAAAUUGGCAUAGAAAAACUAUUUGAAAUCUGCCCAAAAAACUGGACAAAAUUCAUCAAACUCAGCUGUGUAAAAAAAGCAGAGAAACCCCCCUUUUUGUGUGUGUGUGGCCUACAGCCCGCUUACUGCGCGCUGCGCGGCUGCGGCCCGAGCGACGCGGCCCACGGCCUGCUCGCUGCAGCUGCCGGCCUUGGCCCGAGCGGUCGGCUGCUGGCCUUCUUUACUUUCGGCCCAGAUGGCCCGUGGCACCCGGCUAGGGUUAAUACCAGCCGUCGAUUGCCAUCCGACGGCCUAGCGUACAGAUCGGGCGAUCAAAACUGGCACCCGAGAUAAACCCUCGGUCACUUUCCUCCCCCCGCGCCGCUCGCGACCUCUCGCUCCUCUCUCUCUCUUUGUCCCGCACGGGGUCGAGCUGCAGCGACACGCCCGCGCCGCCGGCCACCGGCGACGAGGUGGAGCACCACCGCGCCGUGCGCGCGGGGAGAAGGGUGCAGAGGCGCGCCAGCUCCUCUCUGCACCCUUCCCCCCGCGCGCUACUCUCUUUUCUCUCCUUCUUCUUCUUCUUCUUUACUCCCUCCUUCUCUGUGGCAGAGAGUAGGCGCGAGUUCCUCUCUGUCUCGUUUGCCACGGCGUCGCGCCGCGCCAGCGCGCCGGCGUCAACAACCACUGCACCGCGCCGCGGCGCCCGUUUCUUUUUCCUUUUCCAUCCUUUUCUCCCAUCCAUCAAAUCCAGUGGCAGAGAAAGACGAGUGAGGCGCGACGGAGCCGUUCCCUGCUCCUGUGCGUCCGGCGAUGAUCUGUGGCACCGUUGCCUUACCUUCGCCGGUGACGCGUUUCCCUCAGCGGAAGCGCGCCGCCGUCGAACGGCGUGGCUGCGGUGCCCCCUUUGCCCUUUGCAGGGUUGUGUUCUUCUUCCCGGAUCCUCGGCAUGCCGAUGCGAUUCGGGAUCGAGAGGAACGACGCGGCCGGAGCGGCGGCGCUACUUUUUCCGUUGAGGAUUCAUUCUUUGAGAUAUCUUUGCCCUUCUAGGGUUCUUUGGGGAGGGGAAAAACUUUUCUUUGAUUUACUUUUACUGUUGUAUCUUUCUACUGAAAAAACCUAACCCGAUCUGGCUCUGAUAUCGUUGAUAGAUCCUCUGGAUCGGGACGGUUAGAUCUUUUAGGUACACCUAUCUUCUCCUGGUCCAGAUGAGGAACUCCCGGUGCCGGCCAUGAUGACGGUGGCCGUGAUGGCAGUGAGUGGAUGGUGGUGGUAGUGGAGCUUCUCGUGAGCACCGCGCUAACCCUAGAUCGGUAAGGAAUAUCGAUGGGGUUUGCGGUAGCGAUUAACCUCGUGAGUCGUGCCCCGACCCCCACUUCUGUUUAUAUAGUGCGGGUCACAGGGGCCCACCAAUCAUAAUGGGUUCUGCGCCCCCGAUCAGGGCGCAUUGACCAAGGACCUGGCAGGCCGUUGGGCUUGCACAGAGGAGAUCAACCUAACAACACCUACUGGUUCGACGCAGGUUCCGCUACCACGGCGAGUGGCUGCUGCUGUUCCGCGGGGAGGCGCACUACGACGGCGAGCUGGACGCGUGGGUCGGGCUCGCGGACGAGGCGCCCGGGCGCGUCGCGUCGUGUGACUUGCCGUCGAGGCGGGCUGAGCCCGCCGGCGAGGCCAGCGAGGGGCCGGACUGGAAGCUCAGGAGGAGAGGCUGUUCGAGUUUGAAUCGGCGGGGCACCUCGGGGCCACGCUGGUGUACAUGGGAGGAGGCAGCAGGUACUGCCUGGUUGAGUGCUGCACGGAGAGGGUUGACGACGACGACCCUCGCUGCCGUGCCACCGCCGGGUGGUGCAGAUGACCACCUUCGCUCUCAAGUACGGCAAGAUGGGGGAGCUCCGGAUCGUCGGCCGUGGGGGGCGCGCAUCCAUGGCGUACACGGUGGCUCAUGACCUGAAUCAGCCGACACUCAGUCCUAUCGCAUUCUGGAUGUAACUUUGAUGACUACUACUGUUAUACUCCCUCCGCCUAAAUAUAAGUCAGAGAUUUGAAUAUGGACUACAGAUGAAUAUAAGUCAGAGUUUGGAUAAGAAAAAUGAGCGCUUCAUCAGCUGUUAAACAAGAAGAGCGUGAGCGAACAAUUUUUCUUUUUACGUCAAUUCCCACUCCCACACUUAAUUACCUGAUCCUCCCAGGGAAGAGAUUCAAGGGAGUUGGACCUUUUCAUUCCCCUUCCUCUUCCCAUCCUAACUCCCAUGUACCUGAGCCAAUCAAAGGAAUUUAACUCCCAUAGACCUUAAACUCUCAUUCCCCAUGGGCAACUCCCUCCAAACAAACACGCUGAAGAGACAAAAAUGGUGUUCGAGGACUGCAAUUAUUUUGGAACGAACGUUGUAUUUGCCUGGUGGUCGUCUACACAUGGCUAAGGGAUGUAAGCAGGGCUGGCGGGCAAUAUUGAUCACAGUACAUUUGGACUUUGAUAAAUCUCAGUCACAUCCAUAAUCACUGGAUACAGGUUGCUUUACAAUUGCGAAAGCGUAGAAGCGCAGCUCCGUGCUAUGCCUUUCACUUGUCAGGGCGUCUUCAAAGCCGACCUCAAACCGCCCUAACCAUUUAGACUAUGUGGUCCAGAUGUUAGAGGGAUUAGGCAGGAUAUUAUAAGAAAUUUUGUUCAGUCAAACUUGCUUAAGUUUGAUCACUAUUUUAUAAAAAAUGUGCUACAAUCUAUAACACCGAAUACUCGUGUAGUAGUCUAGAAAUAUUGAGGAUCCUAAGUAAGAGACAAAAAUGGUGUUCGAGAAUUUCAAUUAUUUUCAAACGGACGAUGUAUUUGCGUGGUGGUUGUCUACACAUGGCUAGGGAUGUAAGAGCAUCUCCAGCCGCGCCCCCAACAGGCCCCCUGGACCUCUUUUUGGGCGCCGGCGCCUAAAAAACGGCCCAAUCACGUCUCCAAGAGCUCAAUUUUCGUCGGUUAGGGCCAAAACUGGCGCUGGCGGACCCAGGCCGAACCCGGCGCGCUGGGGGGCGCCUGGGUGCGCCGGGGCGAUCGUUUUUAGUGCAAAAGAAUGGCGGGCCCGCCGAGUCAGUGACCAGUGUCUCGUCGUCCUCACAUCGCCUCGGUUUCCCGCGGCGAAUCAAUGCCAAGGCUGCCGCCGGUCAGCCUUUCAUUGGUUCCUCACGGGCGGCGCUGUGCGGCGACACGCCCCCUUCCCGCCACGCGUACACACAGCACCACCCCCCUGGCCGCUAUAUAAAGCAGCGCCUCCCUUGCCGGUGGACACACCUGCCCGCAACCCGUCUCUCCCGCUCUGUGCAGAGCCACCGCUGACGAGCCCUCUUUCCUCUCCCUCCCCGUUCACAGCCACCACAGACGAUGGGCGAAAGGUUCGCCAGCGAUGGGGCGGCGGCGAAUGGCUUCAGCCGCCGCUCUCUGCACGAGUGGGAAGCUCAUCUCCUGCACGAGCCAACUACCCGGCGCCAGACUAGAAGCUCAGCGAGGAGAGGCUGUUCGACUUCGACUAUGAGUCGACGGGGCACCUCGGGGCCACGCUGGUGUACAUGGGAGGAGGCAGCAGGUACUGCCUGGUUGAGUGUUGCGCGUAGAGGGUUGACGACGACGACCCUCGCUGCCACCGCCGUGUGGUGCAGGUGACCACCUUCGCUCUCAAGUAGGGAAAGAAGGGGGAGCUCCGGAUCGUCGGCCGUGGGGGGAGCGCAUACAUGGCGUGCACGGUGGCUCAUGACAUGAAUCCACCGACACUGGGUCCUACCGCGUUCUGGAUGUAACUUUGAUGACUACUCCAUCUUUAUCGAAAUGAUUGAAGUUUUAGGUUUGUCUAAGUCAAACUUGUUUAAGGUUGAUUACUUUUUUAUAAAAAUCUGCUACAAUUAUAACAGCGAAUACACGUAUAGAGAGGUGCUGCUGCCGCCCCUCUCCUCGACCCCAUCCCUCCCGGUCUCCUCCUUCUCCUCGCUGUUGCGAAGCUUUGCGGGGCAAAGCUCGGGGCGGGGGAUGAUGUCAGUGGCGGGGCAUUCCUCUGCCGCAGCUUCGGGAUGUCGCUGCGGUGGAGAUUCACGCGGGUCUCCUAGACGUGUGCAUCAUCCGACAUCAGCGGCGUAGCGGUGAGGGCCCUUCGCCGUCGAUGGCUCACCUAGGCGGGGCAUGGCGGUUCCGGGGUGGUGCGGCUCUGGUCGUGCGGUUUCCCAGUAGCAGACGUCACCCAUUGGUGUGCUGGAUGACGAGGGAGGUCGAUUUGGUGAUCCAGCCGGGGAUGGGCGUGAAUUUGCCAAUGAAAGCUUGGUUGGGCCUCAUCCAGAACUGUUAACGGCGGCGCCCGCGGAUUUCAUUACUUCGUUGGGGUCGUUGUGGGGCGAUUUGCGUUUCCUGUAUGACCCAUGGGAAACCCCAGAUUCAGGCUUUCCGGAUCGGAUAAUGGAGAGGUUCCUGCGUCGUCACCCCCAUGGGGGCACCAUCUUUGGGGUUGUACAUCAGUUGGAGAGACAAGUGUUUGGCUAGGUGGCUGGGCGCAGCUCUCCGUAUGCUUCUCGUGCGGUGACCAAGGUGGAGCGGUGUGCCAUCUACAAUAUCAACGACGGUGAGUCUUGGUGGCCAGGUGCAGCGGGGUCUCGCCACUGGAUACCGUUUGAUGGGCGCGCAGGAGGCUGGCUGUGUCGGGCGUCGUGGUGGCGUCGAUGACAGAAGGGUCUGGCAAGAUCAGUUUAUUGAUUGCUCCAAAAAAUGGGACUGCGGAAGAUGGCGGUGAUGGAUUCUAGAGCUUGCUCAUGCGGUGCACGCCGAGGGUCUGAUCGGUUGGUGUUCCUGGCUAGCCGACUAGCUUGGUGAGGCCAUCGGAUUUUUUGAUGUGCAUGGCAGGAGAUCAAGACACACCAUUAAUCUUGUAGGUUGGGCGACUGUUUUCGUCAGAAAGGUGGUUUUGAGUUAAUCUAUAUAUUUAUUUAGAAAGGCCUUGUUUAAUAAUUUGAUAAAGAUGAAUGUGUGCAUUGCUCGAUGUGGAGACUCGGGGUAAUCCUCCUUUUCAAAAGAAAAACCCAUAUAAUAGUAUAUAAAUAUAUGUUAUAGAGGAUUACAAGAGGCAAGAAUGGUAUUUCACAACUUCAAUUAUUUUGGAACGGAUGUUAUAUUUGUCUGGUGGUCGUCCUGUACAAAUGGCUAGGGAUGUAAGAGCAACUUUAACAGUCCCCUGUUUCUAAAAUAAUCGCCGUUUACAGAAAGUUGGGGCAAAAAAACCCUUUUCAACAGUUUCUGUAGACUAACUUUAUCUUUAGAGGAUCUCCUAAAAGAGACCUUUUUCUUCAGGUUUAUGGGAAGAUGUUCUGUAACAUUUGCCCGCACACGCCAUCGCCUGCCGCCGCCUUACCCGAGCACGCGGCCACACCCCUGCCGCCACCCGCGCACGCCUCUGCUGCCUUGCAUGCGCCCGCCGUUGCCGUGCACCUGCUGCCGACCGCACCGUCGCCUCCCGCCAACACGGCCUCGCCAGUGGCCACCGCAUGCCCGCUGGUGCCACUGGCCGGCGGGUCCUAGCAAUUAUCUAUUUUUUUGUUUAAUUAAAAGUAAAAAAUUAUUUUAGGGUAAGAAGAUUAGGGGAAGUCUGUUGUGUGGAAAGGUAUUGCGCAUGGCUUAGAAUUAUUGAAGAAGGGGGUGAUCUGGCGUGUGGGGAAUGGAGAAUCUGUGAGGACAUGGGGGGAUCCGUGGAUCCCUAACGGCCCAUCAUUUAGACGGAUCACACCUCAAGGUAAUUGCAGGCUUAACCAUGUUUCUGAUUUUCUUGAUGAACAUGGUGCAUGGAAAUCUGAGUUGUUAUCUGAAUAUGUCUGCCAAUGGAUGAGGAAGAAGUUUUAAAGAUCUGUUCAUCUCCGAGGCAAAGAGAGAAUUUUAUAGCAUGGCAAUCUCAGCGGACGGGAGUAUUUACUGUUCGAAGUGCUUAUCGUCUCGCCAUGGCUCACCAUGAACUACAGUUUCGAGGUGGUGCUUCUAGUUCCAACCCGGAUGAAUCGAGGAGGUUGUGGGAUUUGAUAUGGCAAGCAAAGGUUCUGUUUUUGUUUUAUUCUAUGUCAAAAUAAUUCAGGACUACAACAAGUGCUAUUUUUUUAAAACUGUGAAUUAUUAAAAACAGUUCUUGAAUUCAAAGUAUGUUCACAAUUUAAAAAGAAUGAACAUUUUCUAAAUUUUAAUGAAGAUUUUGUUAUUUUGCCGAAAUUUUUUUAUGAGCAUUUUUUAAUAUUGAUGAAUAUUUUUUGUAUUUUAUGAACAAAUUUUGUAUUGAAUAUUUUUCUGAAAAAUGAUGAAGAAAAUUUGAAUUCAAUGAAUUUUUUUUAAUUUGAUGAACAUUUUUUGAAAAUGGUGACAAAAUUAUAAUUUUCUAAAAAUAUUUUUAGUUUGAGGAACAAAUUUUGAAUAUUGAUGAAUAUUUUUUAAAAUCGGAGGAACAAAAAAUUGAAUCCGAUGAACAUUAUUUUAAUUGAUGAACAUUUUCUGAAUUUGAUGAACAAAAAAAAUUCAAGAAUUUGAAAAAGAAAAUCGCAAAAAAGUGAGAAACUAAUAAAGAAAGCAGAAAGGAAAAAUAAAAAGGAAAAAGAAAGAAAAACAACAGGAAAAAGGAAAUAAAUUAAAAAAGGAAAAAGAAAAAUAAGAAGAAGAAGUAAAUAUAACAGAAAAACAAAAAAGUAAGAAACAAAAAUAAAAACCGGUAGAGAAAACAGAAAAAGGGGAAAAACAUUUUGGGCCGGCCCAUACUUCGAUCGGGAGCUUGGGGGUGCGCGCUAUGUCGCUAGCGCGCGAUCCUGCCAAAUAGGAGCCGCCGGCAUGAAGAGAGAGUCAUUUUUUUAGGGUUUUGUCUGCUGGACGUAUACUGGCUGUGUCAUGUAGUAGUUUUUAUUUUUUUGCAGUGUAUGCACCUCUUUUCUGCGGUCCAACACACACCGUGUGGCCGUGAACCGCCGACAGGUGGAUCUGCCAUCGCGCCGCUGCGGAUGGCUAUAGGUGCCACACCAUGUCGGCUGGGUGAUCAUGCACCACGAUGCCCUGGAUGGGCGGUGGUGCCUUGGACAGGCUAAGGUGUCACGGCUGAUGGGCAAGGUGACAUGGUGUGGUGGAUUAGCGGAUCAGCCAUCGGGCCGCCACAGACGGCCAAAUGUGCCACUGCGCCGUCGCGGAUGGGCGGAUCUGUCACCGCGGAUGGAUAGACUAGGUCGACCGCGGUCACGGGAAGAAGCGCAUACAAGAGUCGAUUCUUAGAGCAUCUCCAGCCGUUCGGCCCCCGGGACGUAAAAAAAACGUGUCCUGAGGCGAGCCGGCGAGAUUUUCGGCGUGGGGGCGACCGCGUUCCCAGUCGUCGUCCUCAGGUCAGCCCGAGGCUAAAUUUAUUCAGCGUUUUUUUGACACAAACUCGUCGAAAUUCAUCCAAACUCGGUGACAUUCAUCCAAAUUUGUACAAAAAAUAAAUAAAUAAACAAACACGGCCUAGCUACGCCGUCCUCGCCGCCGUCCGGCUUCUACAUGCCUAGGCGCUUGUAGAAGUCGGUGUAGUCUCCGUCGUCGUCGUCGUCGUCGUCGUUGUCUUCCUCGUCGUCCUCGCCCUGCCACCCGCCGUCGUCCCUGCUGCAGCCCUGUCCAUGGUCGCCGACGCGGGAUGGCCCGGCCUCCUCCUCAUCACUGUCGAGGUAGACGGUGCCGUCCACCUCGCGGACGGGGAGGUGGUGGCGCGCCUUGAGUCCUUAAUGGCGCGGCGCUGGCGAGCCACCUGCUCGUGGACGCAGUCCUUCCUCGCCCACUUCAUGGCCGUCUCGUCGGCGGCGGCCAUCGCGAGGUGCUCCGGCUUCACCGGGAGCAGGGGAGGCUUCGGCUCGGUUUUUGGCCGGACGAGGCGCAGGCAACCGCCGCGGCCUUCCUCGGGGAUGGUCAGGGCGCCGCUGCGGGUGCGGCGCCCUAGCGGGGACUCCCCCUCCGUGUCCUGCGGCUCGGGCUUGACGGCAAAGGCCGCCGGCGAGCCGCCCGAGGAGGAGGAGGUCGUCGCGUCCGACAACCGCCGCGGCGUCCACGAGCUGCCACAGCGGAGAGAGAAGGACGGGGGAGCGGGGGCGGGGUACUCGAGGCGCGGCGUGUUGCCGGCCUCGAUGUAGUCGAGGACGUUCUCGAGGGUGCGGCCGGGAACCCCCACCACCCGCGCCGCCCUUCGGCGUUGUGGCGGCCGCGAGGCACGACGCCAUUGGUGGAGGCGAUUAGGCCGUCACGUCGGUGGUCGAAGUAGAUCGUCCAGAACGCGUUGUUGUCGGGGGAGUACGCCGGCGUUCGCCGCUGAUCCUCUGUCAGCGACGACCUAACGCGGGCGACCUCUGCCCGCCUGUCCGCCUCGGUGGGAGCGGGUGGCACCGGCACGCCGCCGGCGCUCAAGCGCCACGCACCCGGCACCCUCAUGUCCGGGGGAGCCGGGUAGUCGGCCUUCAAAAGGAGGCGCGCCUCCAACUCGUGGAGGUGGCGGCGGCCGAAGCCGUUCUUCGUCACGGAGUCGCCUGGGUACCGUGCUGCCAUUGCUCGUCGGUGGGCGUGUGGAGUGUGCGAGCGGGGGAGGGGGAGGCGAUUUUUUGCUGCGGUGCGGCGUUCACCGGCGAGGAGUCCGGCUUUUAUAGCCGGAGCAAGGGUGGCAGAGGCGCAUGCCAGGCGACGCGUGGCGGACGGCCGUGGCGCCGGGCGACGCGACGCUUCACUGCGCAUCAUCAAUGGGCAUGUUGACCGGCGUGCUGCAUCGUGCCAGGCGCGGCAUCAAUGGAGGCGACGGCGCGGCAGCGCGUCAGUUGGCAUUGAUUCCCGCGGGAAACGAGGCGAUGUGGACGACGAAGCGGCGCGUCGCUGACAGGGCGGGCCCAUCCGCCAAAAACGGUCCGUCCGGCGCCCCCAGGCGACCCCCAGCGCGCCGGGUUCGAGUUGGGUACGCCGGCGUCAAUUUCGGCCCAAUCCGACGGAAAACGGGCUCCUGGGGUCGUGACUGAGCCAUUUGUUUUCUCGCCGGCGCCGAAAAAGUGGUCUGGGAGGACCUGUUGGGGGCGCGGCUGGAGAUGCUCUUAGGGUCUCUUUGAUUCAAAGGAUCCUCAUAGGAUUUUUGAAGGAUUAAAAUCCUUAGAAAUUUUUUCUACGUUCGUCGUUUGAUUCGUAUGAUUGAAUUUUGCAGGAUUUUUUAAGGAUUUAUUUGUACUACAUGUCACAGAAAUUCUAACAUCCACUCUAACCUCUUGAAAAUAAUUCUUCGUUUUUCCCGUGACACAAUCAAACAAACUCAAAUUCUAUAGGGAUUCAAUGGACAUUGCCAUUUUAAUCCUACGUUUUUUCUAUUCCUGUGUUUUUGCAAUCCUACGAAUUAAAAUGGCCCUUAGUGAAGUUUAAAAUUCCGUUGUUGGUCCUGGACAGUGGAAUGCGGAAGGGAAACAGAUAAAAAAAAUAGAAGAGCAAGGUUGCACCCCUGAGGUACUCACCAGCCACAGGUCGUUGCUGGUUGAUGGUUGCAAACUGCCUAAUAAGAAAUCAGAGGCGGUUUCUGUAUAACAACCACCUUGAAUGUUUCUUGCAAGCGGUUUCCUAGUUCUAACCGUCUCCGGAGCUAUCUUUUCUUUUUGAAAAAGAGGACACACCCUGUCCUCUGUAUUUGGACGAUGCAUGCAACCAUUUUAUUAAUUAUUUAUAAAUUUUUUACAAAGUAAUACAUCAGUACGUCGUACAGGCAACAUCUCACUAGUAGAAAAAGGGUCAAACGUGAAGCACAUUAGUGCCGGUUUGAAUUUGAGCCGGCACUAAUUGUACCAUUAGUGCCGGUUCGAACGGCUAUGCAUUAAUGCCGGUUCGUGUUGAACCACGAACCGGUACUAAAAGGGUGAUGGCAGGCUGGCGUCAGGCCGGGGUCCCACGAUCACCUUUAGUACCGCUUCGUGUCACAAACCGGCACUAAAGGACUAACCUUUAGUACCGGUUUGUGCCACAAACCAGUACUAAAGGGGUCUGACACAAACCGGUACUAUAGGAUAAUUUUCAAACUCUACCCCCCCACCACCGUGUGUCGCCAUUUCAGUUCUGAAAAAAUCAAAAGAAAAUGAUAAAAACUUCAAAAAAUAAAAUCCUUCGAGAGGUAGUUAUAUUACUACAUCUACCAGUUAGGAAAGUUUGAAAACUUAAAUUUGGAUAUGUUUUACAAAAAGUGUAGGGAAAAUGUAAAACGACUAUAACUUUUGCAUACGAUGUCGGAAAAAAAUGUAUAAUAUAUCAAAAAAUUCAGCACGAAAAUCCGCAUCCGAUGGAGACCGCCUACGGGCCUAUUUGCAACUUUAGAAUCCUCAAAUUCCAAAAGGAAAAAAAGAUAUGGUCAAAUUUAAGUUUUUUAAAUUUUUUUGUUAAAUCUGGUCAAACUACUUAUUUAAGAAGUAUUAAUGUUACUACAUAAUUAUUCAAGAAUAUUAGUGUUACUAAAUAAUUAUUUCAAUUUUUUGAAUUUUGGUCAAAUCUGGUCAAACUAUGGUCAAACUGUGGUCAAACUAUGGUCAAACUUAUUCAAGAAAUAUUAGUGUUACUAAAUAAUUACUGUUUUUUAGAAUAAUAGUUUCAAACUCAAACAGUGAAAUGUGUGACUUCAUGCUCAAGCUAAACUCCCGAGGGUUAAUAGGAUUGGCAUCUUACUAUUGUCAGGAAAACAACAAGUGCAGAUUUGGAAACGAAGGAGAAUAGAACCCGAAAGUUAAGCGUGCUCGGGCUGGAAUAGUAAGAGGGAUGGGUGACCGGUCGGGAAGUUAGAUGAUUUGGAAUGAGUGAUCCACACUUGAGCAGUUAAGAAAGGUGAUUAGAGACUAAAUCACCAAAUAAUUCAGAAAAAUUAAAAAUCAAAAAAAAAAUUCCAAAAUUUUCAAAAAAAAAAAUCAANNNNNNNNNNNNNNNNNNNNNNNNNNNNNNNNNNNNNNNNNNNNNNNNNNNNNNNNNNNNNNNNNNNNNNNNNNNNNNNNNNNNNNNNNNNNNNNNNNNNNNNNNNNNNNNNNNNNNNNNNNNNNNNNNNNNNNNNNNNNNNNNNNNNNNNNNNNNNNNNNNNNNNNNNNNNNNNNNNNNNNNNNNNNNNNNNNNNNNNNNNNNNNNNNNNNNNNNNNNNNNNNNNNNNNNNNNNNNNNNNNNNNNNNNNNNNNNNNNNNNNNNNNNNNNNNNNNNNGCAGAAAAAUUAAAAAUCAAAAAAAAAAUUCCAAAAUUUUCAAAAAAAAAAUUCAAAAAAACCUUUAGUACCGGUUGGUAACACCAACCGGUACUAAAGGUCCCCCAUACCAGGACGCGAGCUCACGCCACGUGGUGGCACUUUAGCGCCGGUUCGUGCCGAACCGGUACUAGGGGGGGGGGCUUUAGUGCCCACCAAUUAGUGCCGGUUAUGGAACCGGCACUAAAGGCCCUCACGAACCGGUUUUAAAGCUCCGUUUUCUACUAGUGCCUGUUGCUACUUCUAUCCCUUUGAUAGAGGGGUGUUGAAUGUCCGAAUCUAAUACCAAACAAAUGUCACACCAAAGCCUAACACCUAACGCCCAGCCUAGCCACUUACUGGGACUGGGUCACACACCGGUCCAGCGCACUCACAGUGGGCAUCACAUACGCACCCUGCAAGGCACGACACCACCAUCUUCCACCGAUCCAUCUUCAAAGCAGAAACUGACGCAUCGACUGUUUCAGGACUCUCUCUAUCGACGCCACCACGACGCCAGACAACGUUGUCCUCCUGCGCAAGUCCAUCCCCGCAUAUCGGACGCCGAAUCUACAGUGCGCCACGCCGUCGAGAUCCGUCGCCACCAAUGUGUAGGUUGAAGCACUGCUCCACCAAAGUUGCAGUCCACUAAUCCCUCGAGCUCGUGCACACCUCCAAGAACGACGCCCCCAGAGGGGAAACGACACAAGAGCGCCGCCGUCUUCCGAUCUACUGAUCUAGGGUUUCCCCCAGAGGUAGCAGAUGUUGGCCUAGAACUUCUCCACAGAGAUGCCUCCAAGAAGGGAACGACACCGAAGAGCGCCACCAUCGCCGGUCUUGGCAUCUAGCCAAGAGCAGGUUUUCACCCAGAUUUGUUCGAAAAACUCCAUCCAUCUUUUUGUGCACGGAUCGCCACCUUCUAUGCCGGGGACCAGAACAAAGGACCUAGCCGCCGCCAGACCGGCUACGGCACCACCACGGUGCCAGAGCAGCCGGUUACGUCAGGCCCAUCGCGCCAGCCUACCGCCGCGCACCAGAUCCGUCGACCCGCCUAAGCCCAUCUAGGCCCGGCGAGAUCUAGGGUUAAGGCCACCGCCACAUGGGCGCCCCCGCCGCGGGAGGCUGCGCUGCCGCUGUCGCCGCCGCCACAUCCGCCGCUGGGAUCCCGCUGCACCGCGCCAUUGAAUCACCGGAGUGUCCAUCUUGGCGACGCCAGAUGAAGACACCACUGCGUGUGAGGGAGAAGUCCCCACCGCCGCCUUCACAUCCCACGGCUCGGGCUUCGCCGGCGUGAACUCGGGCCGCGCCGCCGAAUCACCGGAGUGUCCAUCUUGGCGACGCCAAAUGAAGACACCACCGCGCGCGAGGGAGAAGUCCCCGCCGCCGCCUUCACAUCCCACGGCCCGGGCUUCGCUGGCGUGAACUCGGGCGGCAGCGGGAGGGAGAGACUGGGGCAAGGAGGUCUAGGGCGCAGCGGCGCGAUCUCCCCCGUGUCGAGGUCGGGCGUUCCUGUUUUGGCAAAUCUCCCUUUUUUAGGGGAGAAUUUCACUUUCCUGGCCUCUGCACCAACUAGAAAAUGCAUACGACCUUUUAAGUAUGAGUACUAGGAUUUUUAAACUCGGUUACACAUCGAGCCUAGUCCUCAAUAAAUGCGUGAGUACCUAAAAAACCCGGUCCUUAAGAAUAAACCCAAAAUCUCAAAAGUGGACGCGCACUUUUUUGCGAGCGAUUUCAAUCACACACGUGCAUCCCCACUCCAGAUGUCAUCUGGUCAGGAGCCCACCCACCGUCAUCCCACUCCAGCCUGCCGGCCUAGCCCACCAUCCACCCUGUUGUCUCUCGCUUUCUCGCAUCUCCCCAAAUUCAUCUGGAUCCAGUCGCCGUCGGCUCCUCCGAGCGUGGCCCUCACCGGAUCCGCAUGACCGCAUCCACAAGCCGGCCUCCUCCUCUGGCUCGACCCCGAGAUCCCCCACCUGGAACCUUCCCGGCGACGGUGCAGUCCAGGCCGCCGUGGAGCCAUGGAUCCAGGCCAUGGCCCUCCCUGCUCGUCCCUCCAUCCCCUCUACGACGGUGAAGACGAGGCCAUAGCACUCGCCUCCCCCAUGAGCUCCAGGCAUGAGGUCCAAGACCCGCCUCAUCCAGAUCGGGCCGCGGUGUCGCGCCACCACCACGUGAACCCAGCUGCCUCCUCCGCCAUUGACAACAUCCACACGGACGACCAUGCACCACCAACACCACCACCUCUCCCCCCGUCACUCGGCUACAUGGAGGACGUGUAGGUGUUCCCUGCGGCCUCUCCUCUCUCUGUCUCUCCAUAGUUGCAAUGGAUGCAUGCAAAAAAAUUUGAGAAAAUUCCUUAUUUGACACUAUCUUAAAAUCUGCUUCCUUAUUUGACACUGGAAAAGUUUUUCUUCUUUAUUUGACACAAGUUCUAAAUUUUAUUUCCUAUAUGACAUUUUCGUCCAUUUUAAGCCUAAAUGACACCUGAAAAGACUCUUUUGCCCCUCAUGUGGUAUGUGUGUGGGGGGCAAUAGCGCACACACGCAGCAUCAGUGCGAAAGCAGAAGCACACACGCAUCAACACAUACACAUGCACCAACACACACGCACGCGCACACACGCGCACGCGCGCGUGCACACACACACACACACGCACACACACACGCACACGCAGCAACACACACGCACGCAGCACACACCCACAUACACACACACAUGCAGCAGCACACACGCAGGCAACACAUAGGCACGCAACAACACACACACACACGCACGUACACACGCAGUAGCAAACACACACGCAGCAGCACACAUGCACACACACAUGCAACAGCAGCACACAUGUGCGCCUGCACCCACACACGCAACAGCACACGCACGCGCGCACACAUACCACAUGAGGGGCAAAAUCGUCUUUUCAGGUGUCAUUUAGACUCAAAAUGAACGGAAGUGUCGUAUAGGGAAUAAAAUUUAGGACUAGUGUCAAAUAGGAAAGAAAAACUUUUCCAGUGUCAAAUAAGGAACCAGAUUUUAAGACAGUGUCAAAUAAGGAAUUUUCUCAAAAAAAUUAAGAACAAGUAUGAGCUAGCUAAGGGAACAACAGAAUCCAGCACCAGAUCACCUGAUGCAGCAAUUCAGGAACAUCAUUUGCUUUUUUGUUUCUGGUAUUUGAUCUUAUGCAUUUAUACCUGACAUGGGUGUUCCUUCCAUUGCAAUGACGGGAUUAGUCUGCAUUUCGUACAUCAAUUUCUAGUUUGAGUUGCUAUGGUCGACCAGAGUUAGGUGUACAAAUUUGUUGUCUGACUUGUAAUGUGUAACUAUCUCACAAUGAUCAAUUCAUAAUGUGGUUCGUGUUAACUAGUAGCAUAAGCUUAUCAGGAUCAUUAUUCUGUGUUGUAUCAGGAUCAUCAUUUUGUGUUGUAUCAGGGUCAAUGACCAAUCUGGACGGUCUCUUUUCAGAUGGUAAUUGAACGCGGAGAAGGGAGAUACUAGCAUGCUUUGCGUUCGUCAAUCUGGACGGUCUUUCAGGUGGUGUUUGAACGCAGGGACGGAAAUACUAGCAAGCUGAUGAUGAUGAUUUUUACACACAUGCCUUGUACAAGCUCAUGGCAGCUCCGUGCGGCUGUGAUUCAACUUGGCCUUGUACGAACUCAUGGCAGCUCCGCGCGGCUGUGAUUCAACUUGGCCUUGUACGAGCUCAUGGCAGCUUCCCGUCAAUAUCUGGUAUGUCAUGUCGGGGAACGCAAGUUGUUUUUUCUGCUGCCGCUCAAGUUGCACAGGCACUUGUAUCAGUACGCAUUUCUGAUACAGCUUAAUCUUAUCUCUGUAGCACACUCGCUAGAGGUCCGUUGAUUUGGAUGAAAUUGGGUGUCCUACAUUCUGCUACUUUUGUGCUAUGCUUGUUGCCUCUGUAUGCUUCAGGUAUAGAAAAUCCUAUCCACUUUCAUGAAGAUACAAAGACUAGAUGACAUUUUUGUUUAAGCCUUGUGUUAAGUUGAUCUAUUUUUGCUAUUCAUAUUUUUUGUUGGCAUGUGUAGCAGUUGUAGUUGCACACAUAAUAGUUCUCAGUUGGAUAUGACCAUCAAGCAGUUACACAAGAUAACGAUACUAAAUUGGCUAGAUGAACCUAGCUCUCACAUUGCUUACUUCAAUUUAGCUAGACGCGGGUCAUUGUAAGCUCGACCAACUACUAUUUGUAAACUAGAAGCAUGCAUACUCUCGUCCGCAUAUGUACAGUACUUUCAGCAUCUUGCUCAAGGAGCUAUGGUGAUUAGGAUUAGUGGUGGGUUUGCAUAGUGAUUAGGGUUUGAGUUGGAUUUUCGCGGCGGGUUGUUCUAAUUUCACAACUAUUGGUAUGGUUCAACAUCCUAUCUUGAUCCAUCUAUUUUUGCCUAGACUACAUUUGUCUCGUUAAACAUGAUACUCUCUCUAGAGCUUCAUUACAUUAUGUACCUCUUUUUUUCUCUUAUAAAUGCAUCUGCGUGGUUUCUGUGUUUUCUCGUAAGUUGCCGCAUGUAAGUAACUAGUUGGCUAGUUUGUUGUAAUAGUUGCACAGGAACGCAAACGGUAGUUGGAUGACUCAUAUACAUAUCUCAGUUGGCUAGACAACUUAUGAAGUUGCACACUAAGGGCUAACCAGUUGCAUAAUCGAUGAUAUUUAGACUUGGGAAAUUUACUUGCAAUGUUGAUUCAACUUGGGUUUCUAUGGCAGCUGAAGUAGAAUAUGCAAAUUUUGUAGCUUAACAGUUGUGAUCUUAUCUUACCAGAUAUUGAUGGGAGCAAUCGGACUUUUGAUGUCUGUGCAGUUUAUCUAUGUUAUCGAUAAUUUUUCAUUCAGUCAUCUAAUCCACCUCCACUUAUGCGUGUAUAGUCUGCUACCUUACCCAAAUAAUAUAGUACUGAAAUAUUAACAACAUUUUCGUUCUCACAGAUUGUUAACUCAGCCCCUUCUAGGUAUUUUUCUAGGAAAAACAGUCAAAUUCAUUUGUAUAGAUGCAUCACUUUUGUGAUCCUGCUAGUCAAUCUCUGGUAUGAUGCUUGGAUUUUUGAUGAUUGGAGUGUUGAUCUGUACAAGAGUCUUUUAGAAUUGUGAUCUUCAAGUUUUUUAGAAUUGUCCCAAGAGUAUGUAACGACUUGGCAUCCUCAGGCUUUCUAGUUGCAGAAUAGUAUCUAAUUAGUUGGCAACCUCAGUAAUUCUAGUUUCACAACAAUAUACAACUAGUUGACAUCCUCAGCUUCUCUAGUUGCACAAGAACUCAGAUUAGUCCCAUUUUAAAAAAAUUGAGAAUUGCCCAAGAGUAUGUAACGACUUGGCAUCCUCGGGCUUUCUAGUUGCAGAAUAGUAUCUAAUUAGUUGGCAACCUCAGUAAUUCUAGUUGCACAACAAUAUACAACUAGUUGACAUCCUCAGCUUCUCUAGUUGCACAAGAACUCAGAUUAGUCCCAUCUAAAAAUAAUUGAGGAUUGCCCGAGAGUAUCUAACGACUUGGCACCCUCAGGCUUUCUAGUUGUAGAAGAGUGUCUAUUUAGUUGGCACCCUCAGCAAUUCUAGUUGGAUAACAUUAUCCAAGUAGUUGACAUCCUCAGCCUCUCUAGUUGCACAAGAACUCAGAUUAAUCACAUAAAAAAAUUUGAGGAUUUCCCAACAGUAUCUAACGACUUGGCAUCCUUAGGUUUUCUAGUUGCAGAAUAGUAUCUAUUUAGUUGGCACCCUCAACAAUUCUAGUUGGACAACAUUAUCCAAGUAGUAGACAUCCUCAGCCUCUCUAGUUGCACAAGAAUUCAGAUUAAUUCCAUCUUAAAAAAUUUGAGGGAUUGUCCAACAGUAUCUAAUGAUUUGGCACCCUCAGGUUUUCUAAUUGCAGAAGAGUAUCUCUUUAGUUGGCACCGUCUGCAAUUCUAGUUGGACAACAUUAUCCAAGUAGUUGACAUCCUCAGCCUCUCUAGUUGCACAAGAAUAUCUCAUUAGUUUGCAUCAUCAGCAUUUCUAGUCGCACAAGAAUAUCUCAUUAGUUGGCAUCAUCAACAUUAUCUAACAGUAUCUCAUUUUCUAGUUGUAUUUUUAAAAAUAUCAAAUGAAGGGGAAUCACCAGCCUUUUUUAGUUGGCAUGGUUAGUUAUAUACUUGCACAAGUUUUCACUCAACUGUUCUUUUUUUUUUUCUACACCCAGGAUGUCAACGCAGAAGUUGAGAUGAAUGAAGGAGAGAAUCCAGACUGCCCGUCACAGGCUGGUAGGAUAAGGGCGUCCCCAGGGAGAUUUGUCAAGUUGAAUAAAGAACUGACUCCAAUGCAAGGAGCAGAUUUGUGUGAGAGGCUAUUCGGGGGGUCUUCCGAACGUAGCUGAGACGCUGCCUACGGAGCUGACCAAGUACCUAGUGCAGUGUUACAAACCAGAAACUUCAGAAACCACAGCCGUCACAGUUGCACAUGUUUGCUAGUAUAGUUGGUACAUCAAGGCUUCUCUAGUUGCACAUAGUAUGCAAAAGUUGGCACAUGAAGGUUUUCACCUAGUUCCACAUGUUUUUGUUGGUUUUAUGGUCCAUCAAUCUUCUGUCUUUUUCACCCCCCGGAAUUGCACAUACUAUGCAAAAGAUGGUACAUGAGUUCAUACGUAACACAUAGUAAAGGGGGGCUUGUUGGCUUCAGUGCCUGGGGAUUUUUUUUUGCUGGUAACAAGAUCUCCACAAGGAGGUUGAGAGAACAGCAGGUAGGGAGGUUCAACAUGCAUAGAGGGGAAGGGUAGAGAUAUGAGAAGGGGAAACUCACAUGUUUUUGUUGCAGUUUUUUCCCUUCAUUUCCUCAGUUUGGAUCUUUGCUUCUUCUCCUUGCCAUGGCGAUCUAGGGUUUUUCCUGAGCAGACAACCAUUUUUCGUGGGUAAGAAGAUCUUUGGGGAAGGAGGAAAGGACAGGAGAGGAGAGGAGAGAGAGCUUUUGUAGCGCUGGGGUGGAGGCGUGAUCGGUUGGCGGAGCUGGCCGCUCCAGGACGCCCGCCUGGUGCGCGUCAGGGUGUGGGGGACCGGCGGUUUCCUUUUUGGUACGGGGGACCAAAAUUUUCCUUUUUUUGCCGGCCGCUCGGGAUCCCUUGCGAGCCAAUGGGCGCACGCUAGACCCAUCCAAGAAUAAAUAUGAAUCUAAAUUUGCUUCCGUGAGAAUUUGAACCUAGGUGUUGCGGUUUGUACUUCCACUCCCCCAACCAAUUGAGCUAGGCUCACUCCCUAUAUAUAACAAUAAUAACUGCACUAUAGGAAUAUCAUAUGUGACUUUGUUCAGCUUGGUUACAACUGCUCCCGGAAGCUGUCGCUAAUGCGAGUUUUUCUACUAGUGUUUUCUUGUUUGAUGUGGUGGAUUCACCCAAAAGCCAUUAGAACAUUAUCAGUAAUCAUCCUGCUAUGAACAAAUGCACUUUGCUCUGGUGAUACGAGGUCAUCAAGCAAAUAUCUCAUUCUAUUAACCAAGCAUUUAGGUAUAACCUUGAGAAUUACAUUUACAUAAGCUUAUCGGCCUAUAAUCAGACACCCUAGUUGGGCUAGGAAUCUUAGGAAUAAGAACGAUGGCAGCAAAGUUCACCCCGGGCGGCGGGUAAUCAGGUGCAACGUCGACCCGUUCUGGAUGUUGAAGUCCGCCAGGGCGCACUGCUCCUCCAGGUGCUUUGCCUCGAAGAUGAACCGCUGAUGGUGCGGAGGGAAGCCCUCCUUGGCCUGGAUCAUGGCCUUGACGUCGCGGAUGGUGUCGCGGCUCUCCACCUCCAGCGGGAUCGUCUUCCCGGUGAGGGUCUUGACGAAAAUCUGCACCUUUUCUUUUCUUCUCUUCGCCGAUUGAUCAACUGCUCCCUCGCUUGUUCGAUAUAUAGCGAACGGACCAGAAACGCAGCCGCUAGGGAAGAUGUCCGACCCGCGGAGUGGAGUUCUCCUCCACGACAGCCUAGCUAAACCGAAUUGGAGUAGUUUUCUCUUCUUCUUCUUUUUUUCUUUUGAGAAGAAACGUGGAGUAGUUUUCUCGAGGAAGGAAAGGGAACCGCCGGGCCUUGCCAUCCGAGUAUGCUUGAACUGGGCUGUAGCCCGUAAGAUUAGUUAGUCUUAUUUGGAGCGUGCGGUGGCCCAGGAGAAAGUGUGGUCGGACUUAAUUUCUUGGAUUGUCUCAAUUUUUUUUCUUGGAAGCAUUUCAGGCAUGUGGGAAGCUGAGCUAAGACAAACCUACUGCAACAUCGCGUAAAAUAAUUGAUUCUGACUCAAAGCAACUCAGAUUUUCCAGAAAAAAAAAUUAGGUACCUACACUUGUGUGCAAACUUUGCCAACAAAGAUUCUAACCUAAUUGCCGCAUUUGACCAUUUUGUUCAUCGUCACAAACGGAGCAAACCCUCUAAUACAUAAGAAGCGAUUUCAACAUGAUAUCCCCCAUUGAAAAGAUUUCUGCAACAUGAGCUAUAUUACAAAUAUUUCUAUGUUCGGCAGAGAAUGGUUGGACGGGAGUGCAACACGAGCCAGGUUGCAAAUAGUUAUGGCUACAAAUAAAGAGACCGGACGGCUAUCAUGUACACUAGUCAACGACAUCGGAGGUGGCCGAUCCAAUCUUUUAAUCAUCUGGCCAACGCGUAGCACACCAUAUAAAACAAGCAAUAAACAAUCAAUUGUUGUAUUUGGACGGCUAUUAGGUUUCUGAAAAAUAGUCAAAUUAUUAAGAAAACAAUAAGAAAUACAAUUCUGCUACACCUAAAGACAUCAACGUAGGAGAUCUUUUUAUAUCCCUUUGUAAUAAAGGGUAGGAUUGUCUUUCUAAAAGUUCGUCGCCUGCCAGAAUAUACAUACUCAACCCCGCUCCCCCCCUCCCUCUGCAUUGGGCCGACCCAUUUUGUAUUUUCCUUUUCUAUUAACCUGCAAAAAAGUGUGCGGGACAUGAUUCAAACCUGUAACAUCCACAUGAAGUGUACGGCGCAGUAGCCAACCAGACAAGGAUAUCAUGGGUUUACCUUUUUCUUCUUUUCUUUUUUCUUCUGUUCGUGUCCCACCGAACAAGGAAGUCGUGGGUUUACUUUUUUCUUUCUGGUUUCAUUUGGCCAAGGUCGCGGGUUUACUUUUUUUUUUAUUCGGUCAACUGUGCCAUCCUGACAGAUGCAGACUGUUCCUCCUCGAGCGGGCCACGACGGCCGGCACCUUCCCUGUACCGAAAAUUCUUCAAGGUGCUAGCAAUCGUCGUCGAGAGCUACCGAGACAAAGAGCAUGACUGGGUGCUUCUGGUGGCCUCAUCACAAUUUUGAAUGAACAACUUUUCACAGGACAUACUAUCCUCAAAAAUGAUUUCUCUUUAUCCAUUGAGUUUACCUCUAAACUUAAUGAGAAUAAAUGGAUUCUCACCAACAUUUAUGGACCAUGUCAGCCAGAUAAAAGAGUGGUUUUUCUUAAUUGGUUUCAAAAUUUCCAGAUAGAAGAUGAUAUGGACUGGCUUGUAGUGGGAGAUUUCAAUUAUAUGAGGUAUCCACCUAACAGAAAUAAAGGGGGUGGCAAUUUUCAGGAUAUGUUGCAGUUCAACGAUGCAAUCAGUCAGUUAGCAUUGGUUGAGAUCCCUCUUAAAGGCAGAGAGUUCAUUUGGAGCAAUAUGCAAGAUGAUCCCCUCUUGGAGAAAAUUGACUGGGUUUUCACUUCUGAAUCCUGAGCACUUUCUUACCCUGACACUGUGCCACUGCUCUGGCCAAAACAACUUCAGAUCACACACCCUGUGUCAUCAAGAUCGGGACCACUAUUCCCAAAUCCAAGAUUUUUAGGUUUGAGAACUUCUGGUUGGAACAUUCAGAUUUCAAAAAUGUGGUCAAAGGCAUUUGGGAACAACCUAUCCAAGAGAUUGACAGUGCAAAGACUAUUGCUGCUAAAUUUAAAAGGCUUAGGAAAGGGCUCAAAAUUUGGUCCAGAGGUCUUUCAGAUCUCAAAACCACCAUCAGUAACACUAAUGCUGUGAUAUUGCUAUUUAAUCACCUUGAGGAAUACAAAGAUCUCUCAGAUGAGGAAAAAAGGGGCAGGGAUAUUUUGAAAUCACACCUUGAGCAAACUUUGCACUUUCAUAGAAUCUAUUGGAAACAAAGAGCUACUAUUAGAAACAUUCAGUUUGGGGAAGCAAACACCAAGUUCUUUCAAGCCAAAGCUACUAUUAAGCACAUGAAUAACUUCAUUGCUGUCCUUUUAGAACAAGCUGGCAUAGAAGUGCAUGACCAUCAAGCCAAGGCUGCUGUUCUUUAUAGAGCUUUCAAAAACAGAUUGGGCACUUCAACAGAUGCAGUAAACCCACUACAUCUUCAUCACCUGGUUCCUCAAAUUCAAAACAUGCAAAAUCUAGAAUCACCUUUUACCACUUCAGAAAUUGAUGAUGUGGCUAAAAAGUUACCUGCAGAUAAAUCACCAGGCCCUGAUGGUUUCAAUGCUGCUUUUCUGCAACGCUGUUGGGACAUAGUGGCUCCAGAUUUUUAUAGGCUUAUAUUUGAUUUCUUUGAAGGGAAAGCAAAAAUUCAGAGUAUUAAUUACUCCUUCAUCACUUUGAUCCAAAAAAAGAAGCUGCCACAACACCUGGAGAUUUCAGACCCAUCUCUCUGCUCAAUUGUACUAUAAAGAUCAUCACCAAGCUAUUGGCAAACAAACUAUAGAAGUUAAUGCUGAAGAUGGUUCAUGAAAACCAGUAUGGAUUUCUCAACAAUAGAUGCAUUCAAAAUUGUCUUGCCUGGGCUUAUGAAUACAUACACCAAUGCCAUCAGUCCAAACAUGGGAUUGUGCUUUUAAAGUUGGAUUUUGAAAAGGAUUUUGACCUCCUGAAUCACAACACUAUAUUUGACAUUCUUCUAGCAAGAGGUUUUGGCAGCAAAUGGAUCAACUGGAUCAAGCAAAUCUAUACCACUGGUUUCUCUGCAGUGCUUCUUAAUGGGGUGCCAGGCAAGCAAUUCCUCUGUAAGCAAGGUGUUAGACAAGGAGAUCCCCUGUCACCUCUUAUUUUUGUGCGGGUUGCAGAUUUAUUACAAUCCAUGUUGAAUGAAGUUUUAGCACAUCAGCUUAUUGAAGCUCCCCUUCAGCACCAAUCUUGCACCACCUUCCCUGUGAUUCAAUAUGUAGAUGAUACUCUCCUUGUCCUACCUGCCUCAUGAUACGUCUCCAACGUAUCUAUAAUUUUUGAUUGUUCCAUGUUAUUAUAUUAUCUAUUUUGGAUGUUUAAUGGGCAUUAAGAUGCUCCUUUAUAUUAUUUUUGGGACUAACCUAUUAAUAGAAGGCCCAGUGCCAGUUUCUGUUUUUUUUCCUAUUUCAGUGUUUUGUAGAAAAGGAAUACCAAACGGAAUCCAAACGGAAUGAAACCUUCGCGAUGAUCUUUCUUGGAACGAAAGCAAUCCAGAAGACUUGGAGUUGAAGUCUGGAACUCCGCGAGGAGGCCAUGAGGCAGGAGGGUGCGCCCCCACCCUCGUGGGCCCCAUGGAGCUCCACCGACGUACUUAUUUCGCCUAUAUAUACUCUUAUACCCUAAAAACAUCAGGGGGGGCAAUGAAACCACUUUUCCACCGCCGCAACCUUCUGUACUCGUGAGAUCCCAUCUUGGGGCCUUUUCCGGUGAUCUGCCGGAGGGGGAAUCGAUCACGAAGGGCUUCUACAGCAACACCAUAGCCUCUCCGAUGAUGUGUGAUUAGUUUACCACAGACCCUCGGGUCCAUAGUUAUUAGCUAGAUGGCUUCUUCUCUCUAUUUGAUUCUCAAUACAAAGUUCUCCUUGAUGUUCUUGGAGAUUUAUUCGAUGUAAUACUCUUUUGCGGUGUGUUUGCCAAGAUCCGAUGAAUUUUGGAUUUAUGAUCAAGUUUAUCUAUGAAUAAUAUUUGGUUCUUCUUUGAAUUCUUAUAUGCAUAAUUUGAUAUCUUUGCAAGUCUCUUCGAAUUAUUGGUUUAGUUUGGCCUACUAGAUUGAUCUUUCUUGCAAUGGGAGAAGUGCUUAGCUUUGGGUUCAAUCUUGCGGUGUCCUUUUCCAGUGACAGUAGGGGCAGCAAGGCACGUAUUGUAUUGUUGCCAUCAAGGAUAAAAAUAUGGGGUUUAUAUCAUAUUUCUUGAGUUUAUCCCUCUACAUCAUGUCAUCUUGCUUAAUGCAUUACUCUGUUCUUAUGAACUUAAUACUCUAGAUGCAUGCCGGAUAGCGGUCGAUGUGUGGAGUAAUAGUAGUAGAUGCAGAACUGUUUCGGUCUACUUGACACGGACGUGAUGCCUAUAUUCAUGAUCAUUGCCUAGAUAUUCUCAUAACUAUGCACUCUUCUAUAAAUUGCUCGACAGCAAUUUGUUCACCCACCAUAAUAAAUGCUAUCUUGAGAGAAGUCACUAGUGAAACCUAUGGCCCCCGGGUCUAUUUUCCAUCAUAUAAGUUUCCGAUUUACAAUUCUAGUUUCCUAUUUAUUUUAUUUUGCAAUCUUUACUUUCCAAUCUAUAUAACAACAAUACCAAAAAUAUUUAUCUUAUUAUCUUUAUUAGAUCUCACUUUUGCGAGCGACCGUGAAGGGAUUGACAACCCCUUUAUCGCGUUGGUUGCAAGGUUCUUGAUUGUUUGUGCAGGUACUAAGUGACUUGCAUGUUAUCUCCUACUAGAUUGAUACCUUGGUUCUAAAAAACUAAGGGAAAUACUUACGCUACUUUGGCAUCACCCUUUCCACUUCAAGAGAAAACCAACGCAUGCUCAAGAGGUAGCAAGAAGGAUUUCUGGCCCCGUUGCCGGGAGAUCUACGCUUAAGUCAAGACAUACCAAGUACCCAUCAUAAACUCUUCUCCGUCGCAUUACAUUAUUUGCCAUUCGCCUCUCGUUUUCCUCUCCCCCACUUCUAAAACGAUCUUCAAAGACCUUUGCCUUUUCUUUGCCCCUUUUCCGCCCGCCUCUUUUCGUUUGCCUCUUGUGUGUUCGUUCUUAGUGCAGUUUGUUGCCAUCAUGUCUGAAACUGGGGAGGUUAUCAUUGAAAAGGAUAAUCGUAACAAUGGGGGAAACUUUGAUGCGUUUGAUAAUCCUCAUGAAGAACCUACUAUUUUACACACUAAAAAGUUUCUGAUUGGUAGUGGUAAUAUUAUUGGAAAAUGAGUUAUUCAAGAUUUCUGCACUGUGUCGGUGCUCUGCCUACUAUGGGUGGGUCUAUUCUCCAUAGAACUAGUAGUCUUGCGGAUGCUAUAUCUUUGCUCGUAGUUGAACUUGAAAGACAAUUUAUUCAUAUGCACCCUUGCAUACAAAGGAUUUUUCUAUAAUUUUACAAUAUUGAGCAUUCUUCUGUUAAGCGAGCAGCUACUAAAUUUUUAGCACAUGAGUUCAGAUUUAUAAUGAAAGAGGCCAAUGAAUUUUUUGCGCAUUAUAGGGUGGAUGCUGGCCGUUCUCGCAUAGAAGCUAUUCUUUUUAAUCAAGAAGACAUAAUGCAUUUACGAUCUUUAGAUCAUGUUGCUUAUAAUGAAAACCUUAGAAAGAAGGUUCCUACCGAUGUUCUAGUUGUUAGGAUUUCUGAACUUAAUGAUAAUUUUGCUACUCAGAACAAUCGGUUAGGUUUUUCUCUUCAACAAAGGCUCAUGACUUUUUGCCAAAAGAAUGCUUAUAAUGAUGAAUUGGUUGUGCAAUAUGAGGGGCCAAAGGAGGAACCAAUACCUCCCGAGCUUGAUCUUGGGGACUUUUGUCCCAUUAAAUUUAGCCCCUUUGAUUACUUUUGCCUGCCGCAAAGAAAGCUUGCUGCUGAAUGUAGGGAGUAUGAGAUGAGUUAUCACGAUUUGCCUUAUCAUUAUGGUAAUACCUAGAUCAUUAUGGUAAUACCUAGAUCUAUUCUUGCUUUAUGCCUAGCUAGGGGCGUUAAACGAUAGCGCUUGUUGGGAGGCAACCCAAUUUUAUUUUUGUUUUUUCCUUUUUGUUCCUGUUUAGUAAUAAAUAAUUCAUCUAGCCUCUAUUAUGAUUGUGUUUUUAUGUUUAAUUAGUGUUUGUUCCAAGUAAAGCCUUUAGGAUCUUCUUGGGUGAUUGUUGUUUGAUCUUGCUGAUAAAAGAAAAGUAUGCGCUCACGAAAAUAAUUAUCAUUUUUUUACCAGAGAGCGAUAAAAUACUAAUUCCAACUGCAAUAUAUCAAUAUACUUUUUAUCCUAGUCGCCCUAAUUUUUCAGAAUUUUUGGAGUGACCGAAGUAUUCGAAACAUCCAGAUUGCUACAAAUUGUUCUGUUUUGACAGAUUCUAUUUUUCGUGUGUUGUUUGCUUAUUUUGAUGAAUCUAUGAGUAGUAUCGGGGGGUAUGAGCCAUAGAUAAGUUGUAAUACAGUAGGUUUAACACCAAUAAAGAUAAAGAAUGAGUUCAUUACAAUACCUUAAAGUGGUGGUUUGUUUUCUUAUACUAAUGGAGCUCAUGAGAUUUUCUGUUAAGUUUUGUGUUGUGAAGUUUUCAAGUUUUGGGUAAAGAUUUGAUGGAUUUUCAAAUAAGGAGUGGCAAGAGCCUAAGCUUGGGGAUGCCCAAGGCACCGCAAGGUAAAAUUCAAGGACAACCAAAAGCCUAAGCUUGGGGAUGCCCCGGAAGGCAUCCCCUCUUUCGUCUUCAUCUAUCGGUAACUUUACUUGAGGCUAUAUUUUUAUUCACCACAUGAUAUGUGUUUUUCUUGGAGCGUCUUGUAUGAUUUGAGUCUUUGCUUUUUAGUUUACCACAAUCAUCCUUGAUGUACACACCUUUUGUGAGAGACACACAUGAAUCGGAAUUUAUUAGAAUACUCUAUGUGCUUCACUUAUAUCUUUUGAGCUAGAUAAUUUUGCUCUAGUGCUUCACUUAUAUCUUUUUAGAGCACGGUGGUGGUUUUAUUUUAUAGAAAUUAUUGAUAUCUCAUGCUUCACUUAUAUUAUUUUGAGAGUCUUUUAGAACAGCACGGUAAUUUUCUUUGGUUAUAAAAUUAGUCCUAAUAUGAUGGGCAUUCAAGUUGGGUAUAAUAGAAACUUUCAUAUAGAGUGCAUUGAAUACUAUGAGAAGUUUGAUACUUGAUGAUUAUUUUGAGAUAUGAAGAUGAUGAUAUUAGAGUCGUGCUAGUUGAGUAAUUGUGAACUUGAGAAAUACUUGUGUUGAGGUUUGCAAGUCCCGUAGCAUGCACGUAUGGUAACCGCUGUGUGACAAAGUUGAGGCAUGAGGUGUUUCUUUGAUUACCUUCCUUAUGAAUGGCGUCCGGGGACGAGCGAUGGUCUUUUCCUACCAAUCUAUCCCCCUAGGAGCAUGAGCGUAGUGCUUGGUUUUGAUGACUUAUAUAUUUUUGCAAUAAGUAUGUGAGUUCUUUAUGACUAAUGUUGAGUCCAUGGAUUAUACGCACUCUCACCCUUCCACCAUUGUUAGCCUCUCUUGUGUCGCGCAACUUUCGCUGGUACCAUAAGCCCAUCAUUUACCUUCCUUAAAACAUCCACCAUACCUACCUAUUAUGGAAUUUCCAUAGCCAUUCCGAGAUAUAUUGCCAUGCAACUUUCCACCAUUCCGUUUAUUAUGACACGCUUCAUCAUAGUCAUAUUGCUUUGCAUGAUCAUGUAGUUGACAUCGUAUUUGUGGCAAGGCCACCAUUCAUAAUUUUUCAUACAUGUCACUCUUGAUUCAUUGCACAUCCCGGUACACCGCCGGAGGCAUUCACAUAGAGUCAUAUUUUGUUCUAAGUAUCGAGUUAUAAUUCUUGAGUUGUAAGUAAAUAAAAGUGUGAUGAUCUUCACUAUUAGAGCAUUGUCCUAUAAAAGAAAAAAGAGGCCAUAAAAAGAUAAGUCCCAAAAAUAAAUAAAUAAAUAAAAUGAGAGAAAAAGAGAGAAGGGACAAUGUUACUAUCCUUUUUCCACACUUGUGCUUCAAAGUAGCACCAUGAUCUUCAUGAUAGAGAGUCUCUUAUGCUGUCACUUUCAUAUACUACUGGGAAUUUUUCAUUAUAGAACUUGGCUUGUAUAUUCCAAUGAUGGGCUUCCUCAAAUUGCCCUAGGUCUUCGCAAGCAAGCAAGUUGGAUGCACACCCACUUAGUUUCUUUUGUUGAGCUUUCAUACACUUAUACCUCUAGUGCAUCCGUUGCAUGGCAAUCCCUACUCACUCACAUUGAUAUCUAUUAAUGGGCAUCUCCAUAACCCACUAAUACACCUAGUUGAUGUAAGACUAUCUUCCCCUUUUUGUCUUCUCCACAACCACCAUUCUAUUCCACCUAUAGUGCUAUUUCCAUGGCUUAGGGUCAUAUAUUGCGUGAAAGUUGAAAAAGUUUGAGAAUACUAAAGUAUGAAACAAUUGCUUGGCUUGUCAUCGGGGUUGUGCAUAAUUGGAGCAUUUUGUGUGACGAAAAUGAAGCAUAGCCAAACUACAUGAUUUUUGUAGGGAUGUGCUUUCUUUGGCUAUGUUAUUUUGAGAAGACAUAAUUUCUUGGUUAGUAUGCUUGAAGUAUUAUUAUUUUUAUGUCAAUAUUAAACUUUUGUCAUGAAUCUUUCGGAUAUGUACAUUCAUGCCACAAUAAAGAAAAUUACGAGAAAUAUGUUAGGUAGCAUUCCACAUCAAAAAUUCUGUUUUUAUCAUUUACCUACCCGAGGACGAGCAAGAGUUAAUCUUGGGGAUGCUUGAUACGUCUCCAACAUAUCUAUAAUUUUUGAUUGUUCCAUGCUAUUAUAUUAUCUGUUUUGGAUGUUUAAUGGGCUUUAAUAUGCUCUUUUAUAUUAUUUUUGGGACUAACCUAUUAACCGAAGGCCCAGUGCCAGUUUCUGUUUUUUGCCUAUUUCAGUGUUAUGCAGAAAAGGAAUACCAAACGGAAUGAAACCUUCGCGAUGAUCUUUCUUGCAACGAAAGCAAUCUAGAAGACUUGGAGUUGAAGUAUGGAACUCCGCGAGGAGGCCAUGGGGCAGGAGGGCACGCCCAGGGGGGUACGCGCGCCCCACCUCAUGGCCCCCAUGGAGCUCCACCGACGUAUUUCUUUUGCCUAUAUAUACUCUUAUACCCUAAAAACAUUAGGGGGAGCCAUGAAACCACUUUUCCACCGCCGCAACCUUCUGUACCCGUGAGAUCCCAUCUUGGGGCCUUUUCCGGUGAUCUGCCGGAGGGGAAUCAAUCACGAAGGGCUUCUACAUCAACACCAUAGCUUCUCCGUUGAUGUGUGAGUAGUUUACCACAGACCUUCAGAUCCAUAGUUAUUAGCUAGAUGGCUUCUUCUCUCUCUUUGAUUCUCAAUACAAAGUUCUCCUCGAUGUUCUUGGAGAUCUAUUCGAUGUAAUACUCUUUUGUGGUGUGUUUGCUGAGAUCCAAUGAAUUGUGGAUUUAUGAUCAAGUUUAUCUAUGAAUAAUAUUUGGUUCUUCUCUGAAUUCUUAUAUGCAUGAUUUGAUAUCUUUGCAAGUCUCUUCAAAUUAUUGGUUUAGUUUGGCCUACUAGAUUGAUCUUUCUUGCAAUGGGAGAGGUGCUUAGCUUUGGGUUCAAUCUUGCGGUGUCCUUUCCCAGUGACAGUAGGGCCAGCAAGGCACGUAUUGUAUUGUUCCCAUCGAGGAUAAAAAGACGGGGUUUAUAUCAUAUUGCUUGAGUUUAUCCCUCUACAUCAUGUCAUCUUGCUUAAUGCAUUACUCUGUUCUUAUGAACUUAAUACUCUAGAUGCAUGCUGGAUAGCGGUCGAUGUGUGGAGUAAUAAUAGUAGAUGCAGAACUGUUUCGGUCUACUUGACAUGGACGUGAUGCCUAUAUUCAUGAUCAUUGCCUAGAUAUUCUCAUAACUAUGUGCUCUUCUAUCAAUUGCUCGGCAGUAAUUUGUUCUCCCACCGUAAUAUAUGCUAUCUUGAGAGAAGCCACUAGUGAAACCUAUGGCUCCCGGGUCUAUUUUCCAUCAUAUAAGUUACCGAUUUACAAUUCUAGUUUCCUAUUUAUUUUAUUUUGCAAUCUUUACUUUCCAAUCUAUACAACAAAAAUACAAAAAAUAUUUUCUUAUUGUCUUUAUUAGAUCUCACUUUUGUGAGUGACCGUGAAGGGAUUGACAACCCCUUUAUCGAGUUGGUUGCAAGGUUCUUGAUUGUUUGUGCAGGUACUAGGUGACUUGCGUGUUAUCUCCUACUAGAUUGAUACCCUAGUUCUCAAAAACUGAGGGAAAUACUUACGCUACUUUGUUGCAUCACCCUUUCCUCUUCAAGGGAAAACCAACGCAUGCUCAAGAGGUAGCACCUCAUCUGUUCAGUUACAGCAUGUUAAGAAAAUUUGGGUGAUGCAGGAGCUCUCUAUUCUAUUGGGCUGCCAAAUUGGUCAUUUCCCUCUACCUUAUUUGGGGCUGCCUUUGGGUUUAGCUAAACCUAGAGUAGAAGAUUUCUCCCCACUACUCAAAAGAAUUGCUUCCAGGCUGUCAGGUUGCAACACCCUGUUAUCCACUAGAGACAAGCUCACCUUGGUCAAAUUUGUCUUCUCAAGUAGGCCUACCUUCUUCAUGUCCACACUGAUGAUACCCAAAUUAGUAAUCACUGUCGGUGUCAAAGCCGGCGGAUCUCGGGUAGGGGGUCCCGAACUAUGCGUCUAAGGCGGAUGGUAACAGGAGGCGGGGGACACGAUGUUUACCUAGGUUCGGGCCCUCUCGAUGGAGGUAAUACCCUACUUCCUGCUUGAUUGAUCUUGAUGAUAUGAGUAUUACAAGAGUUGAUCUACCACGAGAUCGUAGAGGCUAAACCCUAGAAGCUAGCCUAUGGUAUGAUUGUUGUUCCUACGGACUAAACCCUCCGGUUUAUAUAGACACUGGAGGAGGCUAGGGUUACACAGAGUCGGUUACAAGGGAGGAGAUCUACAUAUCCGUAUUGCCAAGCUUGCCUUCCACGCCAAGGAGAGUCCCAUCCGGACACGGGACGAAGUCUUCAAUCUUGUAUCUUCAUAGUCCAACAGUCCGGCUAAAGUAUAUAGUCCGACCGUCCGAGGACCCCCUAAUCCAGGACUCCCUCAGUAGCCCCCGAAUCAGGGUUCAAUGACGAUGAGUCCGGUGGCAGAUUGUCUUCGGCAUUGCAAGGCGGGUUCUUCUCCAAAUUCUAGAUACCUGUUGAGUAGUGUUCGGCCUCCCAUAAAUUUUGCACUCCUUGGCUUCUACGCCCAAUAAUGGCUAUCUUCCACGCGUCGAGCGAAUGCGAGAAGCCAGGGCAUUUUUACAGUUGCCACCCUAGUCAUGUGAGUAAACCAUCUAUUAAAGAGACGGGGAUUCUCAGAUACAGAUCACACCAUGCUCCCACAGUGAGUAUCUGUCAGAGCACGCCCGAAAAAAUCUAUUCCAACAUGGCCGACCAUCGCAGCUCCUCCUCUCGCUCCUGUAGCCCUAAGCCCGGUGAUUGGAAGAAGUGUUCCGUCCCUCACAGCCAAUUAGUAGAGUUACAGACCCUGGGAUUUCUCCCUCCAGCGUAUAUGGUCCCCGUGCGAGCCGGGCUCGCCACCUACAAUGGCGGGGAGCAAGCGGAGAGCUUACCCAACCCAUCCAAGGGGGAGCGGGUAUGCCUUGUCCCUUUCUUAUUAAGGCGUCUUGGAUUUCCAAUUCAUCCAUUCCUCUGCGGGCUCCUGGAGUUCUACGGCCUCCAGUUGCAUAACUUUAACCCCGCUUCCAUAUUACACAUCGCUGGCUGCGUCGCCCUUUGCGAGCUGUUUCUGGGCUGCGAAGCUCAUUUCGAGCUAUGGCAGAGGCUAUUUUGCCUAGUGCCCCGUACACAGAAGGGGUCUAUAUAUCAAGUGGGCGAAGCCGAAAUAUGGCGCCUUGCCGGGACAGGAUACCUAUCCGGUACCCCGAAGAAAACGUCCGAAGAUUGGCCUUCGGAGUGGUUUUAUAUGGAGGAUGUCCCCCUUCCAGAUCCUAUUCGGAUGGGCCUUCCUGAGUUCGGCAACGCCCCUUUGAAGAAACGCCGCAGCUGGCGCCAUCGGAGCCCCCAGGUGGAAGAUAACGGAGAAGUCCUUUACCUGAUGGGCCAGAUAGAAAUGCUGGCCAAAUCAGGAUUGACAAUAACCGAGGUUAUGUCCAUAUGUAUAAUGCGGGGGGUGCAUCUGCUUGAAUAUCGGGGACAACCCAUGUGGCACUUCAAUGGAGAAGACGAUGCCACCCACUGCGGUCGCAAAUGUCCGGACUCCGUCGCUGCCCUAGCGAAGAUACUGUCCGAUUUGUAUAAAGGAGAAGAAGAGGAGUUCAUCCAUAUUAAGCCUCGGGAUGGAUUCUCCAUGUACAACCCCCCAAGCUGGGUGAGCUGCUACUUUCCACUCCAAUCCUUUAUGCAUUCUUUGUCAUAAGUAUUUACCUCGCUAUUCCAUAGCAGGAACUGCGAAAAGCUGUGAAGGAGGUCCACAUCCCGUCUCCACAACCAGAGGACCCUGACCGGGCCCUCGACCCUGGACUUGAAGAAGAUCCGGACAUAUUUGUGGAGCUCAUCGAUAGAACAUUCUAUCAGUUGAGCUGCGACGGUACCUUGGUGGCCAUCAUAGCCGAUUAUCCUAGACUGCUCCCCGCAUUGCAUGUAAGUAAAUCUGAAGCCCUAACUUCCAAGAAGGAUCCCUUUUUCUGCACUUCACCUACCACACACAUAUGGUGUCUUACAGGGAAGGCCCUCGGGACGCCAUGCCGAACCCGCAGUGACUCACCAACAAGGGGCACCGAAUCCGGGUAGGCUCAAAAGGAAGGCGGUUAGGACUGAGAGGCCGUCGUAGAGGUACAAAAGAGGACCCCGCUCCAUGGUAGUCAUCUUUUAAAAUAUAAUAACGCCCAUGUUCCCUAAUAGGAAAAACGCUCGCCGGACUAUAUCCGGAGAGGUUGCCAGUCACGCCUCCACCAGUCGGGCUCCAGAGCCGGACAUAGAGGCGGACGCUAACAUGGGGCCAACGCCGGAUGUUCCUCCUACAGAGGAUGCGGAUAGGCUAUGCGCUACAAAUUCCAAAGUGGAGAGCGCCAUGAAUCACAGGCGUCGCCGAGCCAUACUCCGUGAUGCUUGUUUCUCCCAAGAGGCGUUCGAUGCCUUCAACUCAGGAGACGCGUAUAUCCGAGCUGCUCAAAAUGGUCUUGCCAGAGCCAUGGACCAGUAUGUAAAAGAUACACGAGUAAGGAAAUCUAAUAAUUAUGUAUAUCAGUAGCCCCUAAGACUUGAAACAGUUGGCACAACUGAUUUAAGGAUCAUUGUUUGCAUAGGUUCUUACAAAGAAGAAUACCUAGUUGUCUUUAGAGCUGGAGGAGUGCAAAGCCUAGCUUCAGGCCGCAGUUGCCGCGGUCAAGGAGUCCGAGAAGGCCCCAUCUGGUAACACUUGUUCUCAUUGUAAAGAAUGUCAGUUACCAGGUAGUAUGCGGCAUGCGUGCAAAUCUAACAAUAGAUUAUGCAAAUGGACUCGGAGUGAAUCCGGAUGAGCAACAUGCUCGACGACAGCUAAAUGCUAGCGAGCGCGUGCUUAUGAAAGUUAGGCGGGAGAAAACCGAUCUCCAAGACGCCAAUACCCAGCUGAGCAUUGAACUAAAAGAUGUUUGGGCCCAGCUUGCUGACUCCGUAAAGGAGAAUAAGAGGCUUCGACGCGGCAUUUUCAGUAAGUGCUUGACCAAACUUUUAUAGAGUUCGGCGAAGAAAUCGGCUGACAGAGUUAUAUCUGUAGGUAUGUUGACGGGUCGCCCCGCGGAGGAGAUGCCCGGAUCUACAGGCGAUCUUCUGCCAGAGCUCUCACAACUGCACGAACAAGUGCGGCAGGUGAUGCAGGGCAUUGCCCAAGCCUUGUGGCCGUCCGCCUCCCUGCCACUAGGCAUGAGAGAGCUUGUAGAAAAGCUCAAGGGAGCGCGGCGGCGCUUCCGACUAUGGAAGUUAUCAGCCUGGCGACAAGGUGCAAGGGAAGCCUGGGCCAUGGUGAAGACGCGAUAUACCCAGGCUAAUCUGAACCACAUGGCCGAGGUCGGACCUGUGGGGUCUGACGGGAAAGAGGUCCCCGUCAGUUUGGUUUAUGACCAGCUAGAAUUAGCCGCAAAGUAUUCUCAAUAGGACUGUAGGCUAGACAACUUGUUGGAUGGUAUAGAAGAAGAAUUUGGUCAGUCUAAGUGACUUUGUACUUCAAGUGACAUAUAUUGUCCCUAGCCGGAUUGUAAAUCAUUUGUCAUGGCGGACCUUUUUGCUUCAACCUCCGGACCCGACAGUACGGAGUGUAUCAGAAUACCAUCUCAGUUAUGUAAAAACAGGGAUAUGCGUGGAAACCAGGCGUAGGGGUCAUAAGUGCUUGAACAGACAAGUACCCAACUAGCUAUGUUAUAUUACAUGGAAUAGUAAGAAACAUCUUCCAAGGAAAAUAGUUCCAUUAAGGGUUCCUUUCCCUGGGUACGCAUGCCCCAACGUGCAUGUCAGGACUGCGAAAAGAGACGCAGGAUAUAAUCUUCUGGGAGCAUAUCUAUACCUACUAAUAAAGCAAGGUGCGUUUCGCCUAUAUUUUCAUACGUUCACCGUCGGAAAAAAAAAAUCUUUCUACCCGAGGUGGUACUAAAGUCUUAUGCGUUUGUUUGCUAGAAAAUGAAUUGUUGUACGUGGGCCGCACGCGGUGGCCCAGCAAAGCCAGCCCACUUAUUUUUCUGCCCAUGCAGCUGGGAAAACUCUAUUUUCCGCACAACGCGACAAAUAGUUAGAAUUUCGCACAGAGUAACCAAUAAUGGGCUGGCCCAUGUAUAUUUUUUUUUCUGUAUUUUACUUCUAUUUUUAUUCUCCUUUCCCUAUAUGUUUUUCCCUUCCAAGUUUAUUUUUCUUUUAUAAUUUAUUUUGUAAAUUAAAAUUCUAAAAAAAGUUCAAAAAAAAGAAAAUUUUGGAAAAUGUUCAGAAUUCUAAAAUUUUGUUUCUAGUUUAAAAAAAUUCGGAAAUUAUAAAAGUUGCCCUUUUUAAAAAAACAUUGUUUUCCAUAAUUCUUAGGGAUGUCAAAAAAUAAAAUGGCAUUUCAAAAAAUGCCCCAAAUUUGAAAAAUAUUCCUGUUUUAGUGAAAUUUUAAAAUCAAAACUAAUGUUCAUGUAUAAAAGAUACACAUUUUCUAAAAAUCUUAUGAAUUCUCAACACAUGUUCCCUUAAAAAAAGGUUCACAAAUUCAUAUAAUGUUUUUUCCUGUGUUUUACUUCUAUUUUUAUUCUCCUUUCCCUAUAUCUUUUUUCCCUUCCAAGUUUAUUUAUCUUUUGGAAUUUAUUUCGUAAAUUGAAAAUUCUCAAAAAAGUUCAGAAUAAAAAAAGCAAGAUUUGGAAAAUGUUUGGAAUUCCAAAAUUUUGUUGCUAUUUUAAAAAAAAUCAAAAAUUGCAAAAAGUUGCCCAUUUUUUAAAAAGUUAUCGUUUUUCAAAAUUGUUCGGAAUUUCAAAAAAGAAAAUGGCAUUUCGAAAAAUGCUCCAAAUUAAAAAUAUUCAUGGUUUCGUGAAAUUUCAAAAUUAAAAGUAAUCUUCGUGUAGAAAAGAUACACAUAUUCUAAAACUCUUAUGAAUUCUCAACACAUGUUCCCGUUUUAAUUAAAUGUUCAUGUUUUUACUAAAAAAAUUGGUAUUUUCAUAAAAUGUUUUUGAAUUUUAAAAGUGUAGUUAAUUUUGUAAAAACUGUUUAGCAUUUAAAAAAUUAUUCAUGUUUCUUAGAAUAUUCAGAAACUUCAUACCUUAAAAUCCCCUCGAUUGAAAGGACGGAAAGGAAUUGUAGAUUGAAUAACUCAUGCGCCUUCUCUGACGUACGAUGACGUAACAAAACUCUUAAAUGCCCUCGAUCAAUGAAUGGAAAAAUAGCAGAUUGAUUCCUUCACACGCGGCGAAACCGGUAAGCUAAAUGUUUCUUUUUCGUGUGCCCACAUAUAAUUCUCACUAACUUUAAAUGCAUAUUAUUUUAUCUCCCGUUGCAACGCACGGGCAUAUUUGCUAGUGGUAUAAUAAAUAGAAAUCAUCUUUUGUUCACCGACCGAAUAUUCCCUUAAGAACGCUAGCUUUCGGCUUCACCCAGUCUGAGGUACACAUCCGGCUGACCCGACAGUAACAAUCGUAGAGGUGCUCCCCUUAUGCCCUAGCCGAAUUAAUGGGAACGUAGGGCAUAAACACAAAAGCCAGGCAACCUAGCUUGGACAAAACUUAAGUCAUAUCGAUGCAUAUAAUGGUAAAAAAGGUACAUGUGAAAAGUAACACAUGUGCUGGGCCGAGAGCCCGGAAUGUAGCUAUAUUAAGCUUCUGUAUAAGAAGCCCCCAGGUAACAUGAGCGUGGGUAGCGCGUCAAUAUUGUGUAGUCAAGACACAUUGUAGCCUUUUAAGGCAUUGAAGAAAAAGGGGAAGAAAGAAAGAAAAGACAGAUAAUGACUAUAUAAAAAAAAUUGAUAGAGGUAGGGAAACGAACACGGAGUCCGGCACUAGGCGUAGAACCUUCGGAGUUUGGCCGCAUUCCAUGGAUUUGGCUCGAGUCGAUUGUCCGAUGCAUCCCGCAGACGGUACGCUCCACCAGUCAGAACUUGGUCAAUAAUGAAGGGACCUUCCCAUUUGAGCUUGAACUUGUUCUUUUUCUUCUCCGGUAGGCGUAGAACGAGUUCGCCAACAUUAUAAGUUUUGGCCCGUACUUCUCUGCCUUGGUACCUUCGAGCCUGUUGCUGAUAGAAUGCGGAACAGGCUUUUGCCACAUCGCGCUCCUCCUCCAGGGCGUCCAAACUGUCCUGCCGAUCAAGCUCGGCUUCUUUCUCUUCAUACAUGCGCACUCGAGGUGAGUCAUGAAUUAUGUCGCAGGGCAGUACCGCCUCUGCGCCGUACACCAUAAAAACGGUGUGUAUCCGGUAGUGCGAUUCGGCGUGGUCCGCAGCCCCCAUAGUACGGAGUCGAGCUCCUCUACCCAGUGCAUAUUUGAUUCCUUCAAGGAUCGCACUAAUCUGGGUUUAAUGCCGCUCAUGAUAAGACCGUUUGCUCGCUCAACUUGACCGUUAAUUUGCGGGUGAUAGACAGAAGUAUAAUCAAGCUUGAUGCCCAUGUUGCUGCACCAAAGUUUUACCUCGUCGGCUGUAAAGUUCGAGCCGUUGUCGGUGAUGAUGCUGUGGGGGACGCCGUAAUGGUGUACAACCCCGGAUAUGAAAUCUAUCAAUAGUCCGGACUCGGCUGUUUUAACUGGUUUGGCUUCUAUCCAUUUGGUGAAUUUAUCCACCAUGACCAAUAAGUAUUUUUUCUUAUGGCUUCCUCCUUUGAGGGGUCCGACCAUAUCAAGCCCCCAGACCGCAAAGGGCCAAGUAAUGGGGAUUGUUUGGAGAGCGAUAGGCGGCAUAUGGCUUUGGUUGGCAAAAAGCUGGCAACCGACACAAUGUUGAACGAGGUCCUGUGCGUCUGCUCGGGCCGUCGGCCAAUAGAAACCUGUACGGAAGGCCUUGCUUACAAGGGCCCGAGCUGUGGCAUGGUGGCCGCCAAGUCCAGCAUGAAUUUCUGCCAAAAGUUGCCUCCCUUCCUCUUCGGAGAUGCACCUUUGAAGGACUCCGGUAGCGCUUUUCUUAUAAAGCUCUCCCUCGUGGACCUUCUAGGCUUUAGACCGCUGCACAAUGCAGCGCGCCUCGUUUGGGUCCUCGGGUAGUUCCUGCCUAGUUAGGUAGGCCAGGAAUGGUUCUGUCCACGGGGCGAUGACAACCAUUAUUACGAGGGUGGAAGGUGUUAUUUCGGUGGCAGAGCCUCCGAUUAUGUCAGAGUGUUCGGUAUGUACUGUUGUGGCCGGGUCCGGACUAUUGUUACCGGUCUCCCCUUCCCAUACCACGGAUGGCUUAAACACCCUUUCCAAGAAGAUAUUAGGUGGGACAGGGUCGCGCUUAGCGCCGAUGUGGGCGAGAAUAUCCGUCGCCUGAUUGUUUUCCCGGGCCACAUGGUGGAAUUCAAGCCCCUCAAACCGAGCUGACACUUUGAGGACGGCGUUGCGAUAAGCCGCCAUUUUUGGAUCUUUGGCGUCGUAGUCUCCAUUUAUUUGAGAUAUUGCGAGGUUCAAGUCCCCACGUACUUCCAGGCGUUGAAUGCCCAUGGAGACUGCCAUCCGGAGACCAUGUAAGAGGGCCUCAUAUUCUGCUGCAUUGUUGGAGUCUGUGUACAGUAUUUGGAGUACGUAUUGGACUGUAUCUCCGGUGGGGGACGUCAGGAUGAUGCCAACCCCCAGACCAGCCAGCAUUUUAGAGCCGUCAAAGUGCAUAAUCCAAUUGGAGUAUGCACCGUACUCUUUAGGGAGUUCGGCUUCUGUCCAUUCGGCGACGAAAUCAGCCAGUACUUGUGACUUAAUGGCUCGCCGUGGUUUGUAUAUUAUGUCGAACGGGAGGAGCUCAAUAGCCCAUUUAGAAAUCCGGCCUGUGGCCUCGCGGUUGUUUAUUAUGUCGUUGAGUGGCACUUCAGAGGCCACCGUAAUUCACCACUCUUGAAAGUAGUGUCGUAGUUUCUGGGAUGCCAUAAAGACCGCAUAGGCUAUCUUUUGAUAAUGUGGGUACCGUGAUUUGCAUGGAGUGAGGACAGUGGAUACAUAGUAUACCGGCUUUUGAAGUGGGAACUUAUGUCCAUCCAUCUCUUGUUCGACGAUGAGCACCGCGCUUACAACUUGGCGUGUUGCCGCUACAUAUAGCAACAUUGGUUUGCCGACGUUAGGUGCGGCCAAGAUUGGGUUUGUGGCCAGAACGGCUUUUAUUUCUUCCAAUCGGGCCAUGGCCGCAUCCGUCCACUCGAAGUGUUCCGUGCGUCGCAGAAGGCGAUAAAGAGGCAGUGCCUUUUCUCCUAAUCAGGAGAUGAAGCGGCUUAACGCAGCCACGCAUCCAGUUAGUUUCUGGAUUUGCUUGAGGUCUGUUGGGAUGGCCAACUAUGACAGAGCUUGGAUUUUAGCCGGAUUUGCUUCGAUUCCUCUGUUGGAGAUGAUGAAGCCUAAGAGUUUUCCGGCGGGCACGCCGAAGACGCAUUUUUCCGGGUUGAGCUUAAUGUCGUAUGUUCAGAGAUUGUCGAACGUGAGCCUCAAGUCCUCUAUUAAGGAUUCGACGUGUCUGGUGUUAAUGACCACAUCGUCUACGUAUGCCUCCACUAUUUUGCCAAUCUAUGUCUCCAAGCAUGUUUGAAUCAUGAGUUGAUAGGUUGCACCGGCGUUUUUGAGCCCGAAAGGCAUGGUGUUAAAACAGAAGGGGCCAUAUGGAGUGAUGAAUGCCGUUGCGGCUUGAUCGGAAUCCGCCAUCUUAAUUUGAUGGUAUCCGGAGUAUGCAUUGAGGAAACACAAUGAGUCGUGUCCGCCGGUAGCGUCAAUAUUUUGAUCGAUGCGAGGGAGGGGGAAGGGAUCCUUUGGGUAAGCCUUAUUAAGGUCCUUAAAGUCGACGCAUAGGCGCCAGGAUUUGUCCUUCUUUGGUACCAUCAGCAGGUUUGCUAGCUAGUCCGGAUGUUUUAUUUCCCGGAUGAAUCCGGCUUCCAGUGACUUGGCUAGCUCCUCUCCCAUGGCUCACUUAGGCUCAGAGAAACGCCGGAGAGCUUGCUUGACCGGCUUGAACCCCUUUAGGAUAUUAAGGCUAUGCUCGGCCAGCCUGCAUGGGAUUCCUGGCAUGUCUGAAGGAUGCCAGGCGAAGAUGUCCCAAUUGUCGCGCAAGAACUCCCGUAGCGCGACGUCUAUCGUGGGGUUUAACUGUGCUCCGACGGAUGCUGUUUUUGUAGGGUCCGUUGGAUGGACUUGGAAUUUGACUAUUUCAUCCGCUGGUUUGAAAUAAGUGGACUUGGAUCUUUUGUCGAGUAUCACGUCAUCCCUGUCCACUAUGGAGCGCAGCGUACUUAAUUCCUCGGUCGCGAGGGCCUCGGAUAACGCCUCGAGGGCCAGUGCGGCUGUUUUAUUUUCGGCGCAAAGUGCUAUGUCCGGAUCACUAGCUAGAGUGAUGAUGCCAUUGGGCCCGGGCAUUUUGAGCUUCAUGUACCCGUAAUGGGGUAUAGCUUGGAAGACCGUGAAUGCCUCCCGCCCUAGAAGGGCGUGGUAUCCGCUAUUGAAUGGGGCCACUUGGAAUAUGAUUUCUUUGGACCUAUAAUUCUCCGGCGUGCCGAAUACCACAUCUAGUGUGAUUUUGCCAGCACAUUGUGCCUCCCGACUAGGGAUGAUUCCUCUAAAGGUCAUGCUGCUUUGCUCAAUGCGGCUUCUGUCUAUUUCCAUUUUUUGAAGAGUUUCAUCAUAGAUGAGGUUUAAUCCGCUGCCGCUGUCCAUGAGCACUUUGGUAAGUCGGAAGCCGUCCACAGUUGGACUAAGGACCAAGGCUGCUGGUGCUCGGGCUGUCCGAAAUUUAGGUUUAUCACUGGCAUUGAAGGUUAUAGCCGUAUCGCUCCAUGGAUUUAAUGCUGCUACUUGGCAGACUUCGGCAAGGCCGCGGAGUGCUCACUUGCGCCUAUUAUUUGAGGCGAAGGUAUCGAACACUGUCAAUACUGUAUUGUUGUUCUCCACGGGAUGGUGCUCUGCGGUAUUGUUGAUGAGGAUAUCCUCACCGCUCUUGGCCACCUGCCGAAGUACCCAACAUGCUCUAAGGCUGUGUGUUGGUAUGGUAUCCGCUGUACUGUGGAUUUUGCAUGGCCCGUUGAGCCAUCCCUCCAAUAAGGUUCCACGCCAUGUAGUGGGCUUUUGUUUCUUUGUAGUUGUAUCGGGUGACUUAUGAGAGCACCCUUUUAGUUCAGACUGGGGGUUUAGUGAGAGCCGGAGGAUCCCAGAAUUUUGUUUGGGUUUUCCAGGUGCUUUCCAUCGCACAGUACUUCUGUACUAUGGCCGCCAAGUCAGCGAAGUGUGCUAUGUCACGGCGACUUAUGGCGUUGAGGAUUCCCCUAUCCGUGCAAUUUUUGCAAAAGAAUGAAAUUGCGUCUUCCUCGCGACAGUCCUUGACCUUGCUCAUUGCAAGUAGAAAUCUGGCCCAAUAGUGAUUUACUGUUUCUUGGGGCUCUUGUCUAAUGUGGGAAAUAUCACUUAUAUCUGGGUGGGUGGGUAAAUUUAGGUCUGAACCCUGACCCGAUCUGAGACCCAGGAGCACCGGAGUUUCCAAUCUUGAAAGUUCGGGCUCCGGGAUGUUGCCCAAUAGGUCUGGCCCGCUGUCUGAUUCUAAGUUUAGAACUUGGGCCAUGUCCUCCCGUAGACUGGUAUCCGACUUAGAGAGCUCGGGAAUCCGGACAUAGCUUGUCCUCAAGAUAGAGGAAGAAUCGCUGCGUUGCUCCUCCACCACCGCUAUCUGAUGGGUGACCAGCGGAGAGUUAAUCUCCCUUUGGUCGAGUUUAAGCCCGUUACGAUCAUAGUCUGUGGCGACUCCCAAAGCGGCGAUGUGAUCCAAGAGCUCGUUCAAAGAAGAGAGCUCCAUUGGAUCCAUCUGCUCGGCGAGUUCCAAGCCGACGUGGAGACUAUUUUUUAUGACCUGAGAAGUCAUCGUUGGAGCAACGGCCGAACGGGAAGUCAUGACGAAGCCGCAUAGUCAGAGAGUUUGGCCUACAGCCAGGGCUCCCCCAGAGGUGAUGUUGUCCUUGACAACGAGACGAGCCAUCCAGCCUUAUGAUUACGACACAAUGGAACUCUCAAUGAAAGCACCAAUGUCGGUGUCAAAACCGGCGGAUCUUGGAUAGGGGGUCCCGAACUGUGCGUCUAAGGCAUAUGGUAACAGGAGGUGGGGGACACGAUGUUUACCCAGGUUCGGGCCCUCUCGAUGGAGGUAAUACCCUAAUUCCUGCUUGAUUGAUCUUUAUGAUAUGAGUAUUACAAGAGUUGAUCUACCACGAGAUCAUAGAGGCUAAAUCCUAGAAGCUAGCCUAUAGUAUGAUUGUUGUUGUCCUACGGACUAAAACCUCCGGUUUAUAUAGACACGGAGGAGGCUAGGGUUACAUAGAGUCGGUUACAAGGGAGGAGAUCUACAUAUCCAUAUUGCCAAGCUUGCCUUCCACGCCAAGGAGAGUCCCAUCCGGACAUGGGACGAAGUCUUCAAUCUUGUAUAUUCAUAGUCCAACAGUCCGACUAAAGUAUAUAGUUCGGCCGUCUAAGGACCCCCUAAUCCAGGACUCCCUCAAUCACCCAAAUCAAUUCAUACUUAAAACACUGUCUUUAGAGAAAAUUUGGGUCACAGGACAAAGGUAUGGCCAUGAUUGCCUGGGACAAAGAAUGUUUGCCCAAAACACAUGGGGGUCUGGGAGUGCUCAAUAUUGAAACUCAUAAUCAAGCUCUUCUUCUGAUGUUCUUACAUAAAUUCAUGAACAGAGAAGAUACACCCUGGGUUAAGAUUAUUUGGGAAUCUUAUUACACUCAAGAGCUACCUGAUGAAAGAGCUAUAGGAUCCUUCUGGUGGAGAUCUAUCCUGAAGCUUCUUUCAGUUUAUAAAGUACACUCUAUAUGUGUGGCUGGCUCAGGGAAUACUAUUGCAUUUUGGAAGGACAAAUGGACAGGACAAGAAUUGCAACUCAGCUACCCUCAACUUGCCUCUUACUGCAUAAAUUUGGACAUCUUACUGUUUCAAGUCCUGGACUCACCCAACCUUGAGGACCUCUUUCAUUUACCUCUCUCUUCUCAAGCAUAUCAACAACUUCUUCAUCUACGGACUCAGCUCCAAGAUAGAAGUCAGUUGCAAGGAUGUGACAAAUUCAGUCAUCAAGAUGUAUAAAUCCUUAAUAGGACCCAACAACUGCCAUCAGGUGUUCAAAAUCCUUUGGAAAAUAGCAGCCCAAUUAAGACACAAAUUAUUUUUAUGGUUGUUACUCUAUGACAGAGUCAAUUCAAGGAACCUAUUGAAAAGAAGAUCCAUGUACCUGGAGGACUAUAACUGUGCCCUCUGCACUGAGCAUACGGAAGAAACGACACUACCUCUUUUUUGGGACUGUGACUUUGCAUGGACAUGUUGGAACAAGAUUCUACCCCACAGAUCUCAGGGCAUCUCCAGUCUGGAUGAGAUUUGCAUCAUAAUGAAUGCAUUUCCUUGUGAUAUAGCCCUGGAUAUCAUCUUGGCAAGAUGUUGGAGCAUUUGGCUAGUCAGAAAUGAUAAAUUUUUUAGGAAUGCUGCACCCCAUCUGAUGACACGGGAGUUCUACUUGAAAGAAACGCUUACAGCAGCAGUUUACAGAGCCAAACACAGUAAAGCGCAAAAGAUUAAGGAGUGGAUUGGAUGAAACCUCUAAUUGUAGACAUGUUCCCUAGACUUGGUAUUGGCUAGUCUUGUAUUCUUUCUCUUUUUUUGAUGCUUUUAAAUAUUUUUAUUAUUAAUAUAUUACCGUAGAACUAUUGUUCUAUGGUUCAGGCUUCAAAAAAAAGAUAGCACGACUGUGAUCUCUACACGUUCUUGUCCAUCGGGUCGGACUGGAGCACGCCUGCGAGGUGCCUUGACGAGAUUUGCGACUAUGGCAAGCGUGGCUUUAGGGUUCUGCAAGGGACUCAGAAUGUCACGGUGUGCAGCCGUGGUAUGGCGCACUGGAUCGUUGAGUACUGGUCGGACAAGGUAGACUUAUCAAGGUACCACACCUUGGACAUCAAUGCCGAGACCAGCCAUGUUUCCUUGACGGAGCUCUCCACCCCAAUGAACCAGCUCACCAAAAGCAGAUACACUGCCGAGCUAACACUUUGUACCGUCGUCGAUGGGACACUCCUGCUGUUCUACAUGCAUGUGCAUGGAAGCCGGCCUUGGUCGGCUAGACAUCUGGACGUGGCCGGGAGGUGUUACUGAAGAAAGUGGAGAUCGUUGGCUCCUUGCUAGGGUGGUCGAGCUAACACUACCCAAGGAGGAGUGGCAUCCCAUGAUUUUGCAGGUGUGGUCCGGACAGAAGAGUGUCAUGUUAUUCAUUAGACUCAUUUGCGCACUUGUACAAAGUCGUUGCUGAAGCAUGAGCGAUGGAGGAUCAUUUUUUGGGACUAACGUAUUAACUCAGUGCCAAGUGCUAGUUGCUGUUUUUUGGUCUGCUUUUGGUUUUCCAUAAAAUCAAUACAAAACUAAAUCCAAACGCUACAAAACUUUUUGAUGAUAUUUUUCUAGACAAACAAACCGUAGAAGCUUUGGGAAGACACGAGAAGGCAAACGAGGAGAUGCCAAGUCAACUGGGCGUGCCCAAGGGGUAGGAGCGCCUUGAUGCCUUGUGGGCCCCUCGUGGCUCCGUCUGACCUAAUUCCACCUCUAUAAAUUCUCUAAAAUCGGGAAACCAACAAAGAGCCACCUGUUCUUUCGCAAUCCCAUCUCGAGGCCUUUUCGAUACUCUGCCGGAGGAGGAAUCGAUCCCAGAGGACUUCUACAUCAACCUUGCUGCCCUUUCGAUGAUGUGUGAGUAGUUUACCAUAGACCUAUGGUUCCAUAGCUAUUAGCUAGAUGACUUCUUCUCUCUCUCUUUGAACUUCAAUACAAUGUUCUCCGUGAUGUUCUUGAAGUUCUAUCCGAUGUAAUCUUAUUUUGAAGUGUGUUUGUUGGGAACCGAUGAAUUGUGGAUUUAUGAUCAGAUUAUUCAUGAAUAUUAUUUGAGUCUUCUCCGAACUCUUUUAUGCAUGAAGGUUGUAGCUUUGUAUUUUUUCUCCGAUCUAUCCGUUCGGUUUGGCCAAUAGAUUGAUUUAUCUUGCAAUGGGAGAGGUGCUUCAUAAUGGAUUCAAUCUUGCGAUGUUCUAUAUCGCAGUGACAAAGUGGGGGACAAGAAAUGUAUUUGUAUUGUUGCCAUUAUGGGGAAAACGACGAGGGUUUAUUCGUAGUGAUUGGAUUUAGUUUUUAUACAUCAUGUCAUCUUGCUUAAGGGGUUACUUUGUUUUUAUUAACUUAAUACUCUAGAUGCAUGCUAGAUAGAAGUCGAUGGGUGGAGUAAUAGUAGUAGAUGCAAGCAGGAGUCAAUAUUUCUCUUAGGACAUGAUGCCUAUAUAUAUGAUCAUUGCCUUGAAUACUGUCAUAAGUAUGCGCUUUUCUAUCAAUUUCUCAAUGGUAAUUUGUUUACCCAUCAUAUGCUUUUUGUUCGAGAUAGAAGCCUCUAGUGAAAACUAUGGCCCUCAGGUCUACUUUUAUCAUAUAUAAAAUCCAAAAAUACCUUACUGCAAAUUAUUUAUCGUUAUUUCAUUUUGUGGUUUAUUUAAUCUACAUAUCACUACAAGGUUUGAUCCUUGCAAUUAACAGCCAAGGGGAUUGACAACCUUGUGUGUGUAGGUGCUGCUAAAGUGGUUCUGCGUGGUUCUCCUACUGGAUUGAUAACCUUGGUUCUUAACUAAGGGAAAUACUUAUCUCUACUAUACUGCAUCAUCCUCUCCUCUUCGAGAAAAUCCCAACACAGCUCACAAGUAGCAUCAUGGCUGGCCAUGAGAUGUCGAGAGAGGUAAGCUGCUUCCUCUGAGGCUGCACCAAUAGCUAGGACUGUUGUCUUAUUGAUAUAUGCCUGCAAAUCGGUGAUCUCCGCACGGCCUAUCCAUCAACUAUUGGUCUUGGACAUGCCAGUUUGGGUGUUUGAUCGAGAAGUGCAUACGGUCAAUUUUUGGGCUGGAAAGGAUAAGGUGAAUGGAGGAUAAUUCCUCAUUGCUUGGGACACAAUCUACCGACCGACGUGCUACAGAGGGCUAGGAGUCAAGGAUCUAUAGUGCCAGGUGCUGGCAUUUCGCGUCAUGUGGGAAUGGCUUCACCGGACGAACCCGACUGCACCGUGGCAAGGUAUCAAGAUGAUCGAGGAUAAGGAGGCUAGGAUGGUUUUUGACAGCAUGGUGAAGAUCUCUGUGGGUAACGGUGCGAGCAUCCCUUUCUAGAGUGACCGAUGGGUCCAUGGAUUCACAAUGGAGGAGAUAGCGCCCUUGGUUUUGACACUUGUUUGCACUAGGGUGAAGAAGAACAGAAUGAUUCACGAAGCUCUAGUCGAUAAUGCUUGGACCCAUGAUGUCUUGACAUAUUUGUCCUUCAUGGCGCACCUCCAGAUGGCAAAUCUAUGCCAUGCCAUCGCCACUGUUCCACGUAAUGAAGACGUGCAGGACCUGUUCACCUGACCAGCCGACUCUUCUGGCGUCUACACUGCCAAAUUGGUGUAUGAUAUGCUAUGCAUUCGUCUGGAGAGAUCACCUACAUCGAUGGGCAUUUGGAGGAGUUGGGCACCUAAAAGUGCAAAAUCUUUGCAUGGUUGACAGUACAAUACCGCCUUUGGACGUCAAACCGGUGAGCACGACAUGGCCUUCAAGAUGAACCGACGACAUUCUUUUUGUGUCUCUAGGAUGAGGACAACAUAUAUCACAUUUUGGCUCAAUGUGUUUACGCUCGGUAGGUGUGGCAUGGGUUAUUUGAUAAGUUACAUAUCAACAUGUCACCUCCCUCCACUCAUGACAGUUUCAAGAAUUGGCGGUGAAAGGACAUGCGGUGCCCCCAUGUGUGGUUUUGGCAAUUGAUGGCAUUCUCUAUGGACUAAUGGUUGCAUUGAGAUAUAUUUGAAGGAUUUGUCCAUAGGCAUUUCUUGAAGUCCAUGUGUUGCUUUCAAGGAGUUUAUGAGUUGACCAAGGUGCUAUUAAGUAAUUAUCCAAAGAUUGGUCAUGAGUUUAUGAGUUGACCAAGGUGCUAUUAAGGAAUUAUCCAAAGAUUGGUCUUGUGAGUAUUGAACUUAUUGCAAGCAUGUCUUGAAGAAGAAGAUUGUGUAAUCAUUCAUGUUUACCUUCAAGACAUCAUCCAAAUGAAGAGAGUUGGAAAGAUUCAAGGUUGAUCAACACACAAAGCGUACAAGAUGUACCGGGAGGGAUCAAGUGAUCCCAUGGUAUGGUAAGCAUUGUCCAUUACGCUUUGUGUACUAACCCAUGAUCUACGUGUGAGUUCUAUGUGGGGUUAGGUUUGUUUCCAUGGGUUUGCAUCAAGAGGAAGAUCUCAUACAACCCAUGGAGGAUGACAUCAAGUGGUGAUCGUCAUCAAGAUUGCGGUGUGCAAGUUCAAGUGGAGCAUCACGAAGAGAUCAUCCUUGAAUCUUGCCGUCCAUUGUGGUGUCAAUGGACUUGUGAAGAUGUUCCAAAGAGUGGCUCACCCAUAGUGUAGUAUGGGGGAGCAAUCAACUAGUCUUCAUCGAGCCAACGCAAUCAAGAAAGGUGGUCCAACUUGAGGGAGUCAAGAUCGUCAUCAUCUAGCUCAAGUGGACUAUGUGCAAGGCAAAGGUUUGCCCUUGAUAGGUUUUCUAUUUUACCGGUCUCAUGGUGGUACUUGAGAGACCGGGUUAUAGAAUCAGUUGCCAUACUAUCAAGGGGGGCUCUCAAUGAGUAGCUUGACCGUAUCGUUCGUAGAGAGCUCAAACCAUUGCAUUCUUGCAUCAUCUUUCUUGGUUCUUGUUUGGUGUUUCUCUUUUUGAGUUUUAGAUCUUAUGGUCAUCUUCAUGACAAGCUUGAGUUCAUCGAAAACGGAGUUCACAUGCAUCUUCUAUGAUGUUUUCGAUGUUGGAGGUUAUGCCGGUUCUUCUCUGUUGGAGGUCGUUGUUGGAUGCUACUCGUCGUCACUAUCCAACAAGCUUGAGUUUGCUCAAUUCGGAGCUCAUUUGCAGAAGUUAUGGUAGUUCUGGGCUUUCUUGUUGCACCUGCUGUAGUACCCUGGCUUGGAGCGGCAGUACCGCCUAGAGGAACAGGCGGUAGUACCGCCCAGAGCUUUAGGCGGUGGUUCUGCUCCAGUGCCAGUCUAGUACGUACCGCCUCGAUUCGAGAACUUGCUUUUCUUGUCCCGGGUUCAGCGGCAGUAGCAACGAUAGUAGGAGUGGUAGUACUUCUCAUUAGCGGUAGUACCGCACCUACUACCGCUACUAGUGCCGCUCUAGGUCUCUCUCCUUCUCACUUCUCUUCCUCGUGUGCUCUGACCACAACGGUAGUACCGCCUGUAGCGGCAGGCGGCAGUACCGCUCGCUUGUGCGGUAGUACCGCUUACACGUAGCACUACCACCCCUAAGGUUCUUUGCCAUUGCUCUUUUUCCUGCUCUACCGCCCGAGCAGUAGUACCGCUUGUUGGAGCGGUAGUACCGCUCGUGUGCGGGAUGAGCACAUAACGGUUGGAUUUUUCCCCACCUAUAAAAGGGGGUCUUCUUCCCCAAUGAACCUUAUCCUUUGAGCUCGCAUUUCCCCCCAUUGUUGACCUUCUUCGAGCUUGCUAUCUCUCAAUCCCUCCAUGGAUUCUUGCUAGUUUGUGGAGUAAAAGAGAGAGGAGAUCUAGAUCCACAUUUCCACCAAUCACUUUCUCCUCUAUGUGAGGGGAACCCCUUGGAUCUAGAUCUUGGAGUUCCUGGUGUUCUCCUUCUUGUUCUUCCUCUCAUUUUCCUCCAUUGCUUUCGUUGCUUUGGUGGGAUUUGAGAGUGAGGGACUUGGGCACUCUGUGUGCCCUUGCCAUUGCAUUUGGUGCAUCGAUUGAGUUCUCCACGGUGGUACAUGGAAUUUACAAGUUGAGAAGCUUAUUACUCUUGGGUGCUUGGUGCCCUUGAGCUUGUUCCUCUUGGGUGUUUGGGCACCCUAGACGGUUGGUGGUGUUUGGAGCUCAAUCAUUGUGGUAUAAAGCUUCAGGCAAGUGUCGGGGUCUCCAAUUAGGUGACAAUCGGGGUGGUUCUACAUCACCGAGCCGCGCGACACCAACUAGGUGGCGGCCCCCGAAUUUUGAUCCGGAAUCCCCACGCGGCUCUCUUCCUGGAAAGAGAAGGGCCUGUCUUGCAGUUCCCCGGUAGAGGUGACCGGACUCUAGAACUGCAUCAAGAACAUGAUGAAAAAUAAAAUCAAGCUCGUCAACGUGGUCCAGGUCAUGCUCUUCCGCCGGAUCCUCCCAUGUCAACGACGGGUAUUCAAUUUGUGGGAGUUCGACCCGGCCAAGCACCAGAUGCUGCAAGAGCUCUUCGGCACGACGCACAAGGACGUCUCGAAGGUGCUGUUCAAGGGCGCCAAGGUACCUCGUCCCCUUACCGAGGACCGCGGACUCAGCGCAAAGCGCCAUGCCAAUACGGUAAGUUUUUUAUAUCCCAUAGGAUAUUUAUUUGCCCCAGUUUAAUCCUGUGCGGGAUCUAAGCUUCCAUGCCAUUAACAUGACUGGGUAGAGACAAUGGAGCAGAUCGAUUGCCCAGCCCCCCUACCUGAAGAUCCCGCAGAUGCUCUCCUAACGGAGAUGCUGGUUCCGGCGCCAUACGAGGUGCCGGUGAAGAAGGCCAAGAAGAAGGCCAUGGGGACCCGAAAGGGUCUCCGGCGCAAGGUUAUAUCGGACUCAUCGUCCGAUAACUCCAAAGCGCACUCCUCCCAUGAAAACAAGGAGGAGGAAGAGGAAAGUUCUCCCCCCUAGCCGGGGGAGACAAGAAAAGGAAGGCCACCCCAACCGGGGAGGCCGAAGGGUCCAAGAAGGGAAGGACCCUCCUUCCGGACUCCUCCAUGACGGCCGCCUACAGCGGCGACGAGUGGUUACCUAGGGACAAGCCCCUGGCGAAGUCAUAAGUAUUCGGACACCAUAGUAAUUCAUGGUAUGUUUUAUUGCACUGCUUCUCCUUACGCCGAAUAUGAUUAUGCAGUCCGUCCCGAGCCCGUCUCGAUGUAUCUUCGUCGGAUGGUUCUUUGGACUCGUCGAAUAUGAAUAGCGAUUCACUUCCGACCGCCUCCACCCCCUGGCCUACGGACAACGUCGAGGUGUUGUCUCAAAAGGCACCGAGCCGAGGGGAGGUAGUUUUGGGGGCGCCUCGAGGCGACCUUCCGGACCCUGGGUGCAAAGGGGGCAAGACUCCCACAGGCUCCAAGUUCGGUCCCCAGCCGAACACUGCGCCGGAACCUUCGGUGGUUCCGGACUCCGGCAGGCGAUCCCCCGUUAAGAGGGGCAAGCCGCCCGUGCUGGUGGCCUCUAUCCAUCCAGAGGCACCAGACAACUUGCUGGAAGCGCUUCGCGGCGCUUCCAUCGACGAGAAAGUUCAGUCUGCAAAAAACGGACUAACCGAAGCUUUUGCCAGCCUCCUAACAUGCUUUCAGGUAAGCAAUCAAAAUAUAGGAAAAUAUUACCGCAUAGACAGUAGCCCCUGAUGCUCUGUUUGGCGUUCGUGAAGAAAGGCCGAAUAGAGGAUCAAAUAAUGACUCAGGAGUCUAAUCAGAAUAUGUCUAUGUGCAUAUGUAGGCUUCACCGCUGGCCGCUGCCGCAUGUACUGCGGAGGUCGCUGCACUGAAGCAGGACCUUGAGCGGUCCGAGGAAGAGCUCGACCUUACCAAGAGGCAGCUCGAGGAGAGCAAAGGUAAGCAAUACCUUGUCUAUAUAUUAAAAAGAAAUUCGAUUGUAAAGUAAUAGGAUCAUCAUGAAUUUUCCAGGGGCCACGACCGAGGUGGCGACCCUGAAGAAGGCACUAUCCGAGGCCGAAGACAAAGCGGCCAAGGAGCACAUUGAGCGGGAAAAGCAAGAAGCCCGGGUAGGCGAGGUGCAGUAAGAGCUCGAGGCUCUCGCCAAAAAACACGAGUCCUUGGAGCUUGACUCUAAGACGCGAGAGUCCGAGCUUGCGAAGGCGCUCGAAAGCGCACGGAGCGCCAAGGCUGAAGCCCACAAGGCCCUCCAGGAGAUUGAUGCGGUGAAGAAGAUAGCAGCGGGUAAGGCAUUCAUUAUGCAGAGCAAGCAUGUGAAGGAAACUUUCCUUUUACUUACCAGAAUUCGGAGCUCUCCAGGAGCGUUCGCAGAUCUUCCCCGCAGUGUACUGAAUGCCAUGGAGUUUUACCGAGCUAAGGAGGGGAGCUCGACAGAAAAGUUGUUCUGGUCUCAGUAUACUGGCACCGAACACCCAAUGCCCUUGAGCGACCAGCUGAAGCAACUGGUCAAGCUUCACAAGGCGGCCGAACAGGCCAUGAAGGGUCUUAUAGUCCGGAUGUGGCCUGGCGAUCCCCUGCCUAGCAGCUAAUUUGGUCUGGUGAGGCGGCUUGUGGAUGCUUGCCCACGGCUUGAAGUCAUAAAGCGGCCCGUCUGCAUCGAGGGUGUGCGCAGGGCUUUUGCCCGGGCAAAGAUGCACUGGGCGAAGCAGGACAGCGUAAAGCUGGUGAAGGAGGGGCCGCCGGAGGGCAAGGAGCAUCGCUGCCCCGAAAUGUAUUAUGACAGUGUCUUGAAGGGUUCCCGCCUUGUGGCGGAGAAUGUGCUAGAGAUGUAAUUUUUGAAUGAACAUGCUCAUGUGAUCCUGUAAUGUGAAACGAGUUCAUUUGCGCUAUGCAACGCUUUCUGAAUUUAAAAUAUUACCUUCUGUGCGGCCGUUUAUAAAAUCUGAGAAUUGGCCAGUCGUCGGCUUCUGCCCCCAUGUAACUAGUACUGGGGUGUUCGGAAUAAACUUGAGCACUCUUUAUCCCAAUUUUGGGUCCUUCAAGGGAGGUGUUCAGCACAACGAACCAGGCAAUCAGACUAUAAGGCUUUAUCACUCUCACUUAGCCAUAGAAGUCCAUAAUUUUAAAUUUUGGUGAAGCCCCUAGUAUUCGGAAGGCCGAAUUUGGGGCGCUAUAUACGCCUAAGUCGGGCAAGGCCGACUCCUCGCCCAAAGCGGAAAAAGUCUUUAAGGACUUGAGACCUCUCGAAUAGCGACCAGCUCUCGCCUUAUCAUGACAGUCAGUUUUUGGCUUUCUCUACUGAGGUGCUCGUCCGGAAGAACCGGGACACAAUCGCAGUAGUUCUCCCUGCGCUACCUUAGCCGAUAUAUCGGAACUUAAGGUACCAAAACAUGGGAGCCGGGCAAACCCAACUAUUGACCCAAGACAUGAUUCGGAGCUGAUGCAUAUAAUUCUAUAAGUUUGGGGUGCCGCACUGUCGAAAGUGUUCAGACUUAUCACACCGUAUUAUGGGGUAAACGAAAGCCCCUGGCGUACUAACCGUACCAAAAUGUACGGGUGCAAGUUGUCAUAAAUGAACAUAUAAGAAAAAAAGAUGGAUAAUGCAAUAAUAGACUAAUGAUAUGCAUUGUUAUCUAUACCUACCUAUACUAAUCACAGACUCCCUAAAAAUUACCACGUUAAUUAGAAAUUAUCGGCCGUUAAUUUGGUGGGGCCAAAUUAUAACGGUGUAGAUCCACUCAUAUAAUCCUUGCAAUCUAAGAAAAAAACGUAAUGUAUCUGGAAAAAAAUUGGGUACGUGAAUAAUCUAUAUAUCGUACUUCCUACAACUUGGGGCUUGCAAUCUAAGAAAACGACAACAUAUAGCGUAGCUGUUAAAAAACAAUCCCAGACUCUUACGUUCAUCAGUGCAUCUCUCAUGUAACACGACCAUUGUUCUGGAAAAACAACGACAUAAUCUAGCUUCUCGGUUGGCCACUUGCCAUCCAGCCAUGGAUUCUCCUUGAAGAAAAAGAGGAUCCAUCGAGGAUAACUCACCGUCCUCUCCUCUGCUGCUUGCCCUGUGUGCGGCGCCUCGGCCACAUCAUUAUGGCGAGCGAGGUGUUCUUCUCCUUGCCAGGUAUCCGUGGUCUCCCUCAAUUCAUAAGAGCAGCCCCAGGCGAGCUUGAUGGGAAACUGGUCGUCGCUGAUGUUGAACUCUCUGUGGGAUCACGGUCUAACUACGAGUCCUUCCAACCAUCUUAUUGUGGACUCAUCUCUCUGCAGCGUCCGUCACAGCCAAGUAAACCAUCAUAUAAUUAAUUCAAUCUUCUCGAUCUGACGAAGGCGCCCUAUUUUGUGUGAUUUAUUUGUGUGGACUUCAUGCAUGAUGAUGAUCUUGAGCUUUGACUGAAGUUGGUUGGCGUCUUGAGGCUGAGAAGAUCGGGUUGUGCUGAUUUUUUAAAUUCCUGUUGUUUGUGCAGCCGAGUUCAUGGUCACAGAGAUCAUCAUUGAGCAGGGGUAUUGAAUGCUUUUCCAUCGUUGCAUCUCUCAUGUAACACGACGAUUGUUCUGGAAAAACAACGACAUAAUCUUGCUUCUCGGUCGUCCACUUGCCAUCCAGCCAUGGAUUCUCCUCGAAGAAAAAGAGGAUCCAUCGAGGAUAACUCACCAUCCUCUGCUCUGCUGCUUGCCCCGUGUGCGGCUCCUCGGCCGCAUCAUUAUGGAGAGCGAGGUGUUCUUCUCCUUGCCAGGUAUCCGUGGUCUCCCUCAAUUCAUAAGAGCAGCCCCAGGCAAGCUUCAUGGGAAACUGGUCGUUGCUGAUGUCAAACUCUCCGUGGGAUCACAGUCCAACUACGAGUCCUUCCAACCAUCUUCUUGUGGACUCAUCUCUCUGCAGCAUCCGUCACAGCCAAGUAAACCAUCAGAUAAUUAAUUCAAUCUUCUAGAUCUGACAAAGGCGCCCUAUUUUGUGUGAUUUAUUUGUGUGGACUUCAUGCAUAAUGAUGAUGAUCUUGAGCUUUGACUGAAGUUGGUUGGGGUCUUGAAGCUGAGAAGAUCGGGUUGUGCUGAUUUUUUAAAUUUUUGUUGUUUGUGCAGCCGAGUUCAUGGUCACAGAGGUCAUCAUUGAGCAGGAGUAUUGAAUGCUUUUCCAAUAGUACGAGCGCCCAGACUACAGGUUGCUUUAGGUUAUGAUUUCUUCCUUUUUUCUUCAGUUUGUAUAAUUAGUUUAUUAUACGGUUAGUUGAUACGUGAAGAUGUUUUACUAAACAGAUUGAAGUUGCCAUCAGGUAUCGUACUUGUCAGUUGGUUUGUACAGUGAAUAUGCUAAUUGAGUGAUAAAGAUGCGUAUGUCAUUUCACCAUUUAAAGAUUGCUAUACUGAGUGAUUAAGAUGCUGGAAGGUACGUACAGUUCAAGCUUCUCACAAUGAAAAAGACAACACUACAUUUUGUUUAUACUCUAAUUUGUAAGUUUCUUUCAAAUAUCAUUACAAAGAUUUCCUCAUUUUCUUCUAAAUUGUGCGGGGCGCACAUCAUGGCUGCCAUCAUUGAGAAUUAGCUCGAACUCCUCCUAAUCAGUCUCACAUCAUUGUCGUGCUAAGAAAUACAACAAGGAGGAGAGUCGGUUGGCAACAUGUUAUUUGAAGUGCAACCAAUGACGAACAUGUGAGUUGUGACAAGCUUUGUUUUUGCUCACAGUGGAUUCAUGUUGGAAAUUUAGUUAAUUAGUAAUACCCCACUCCCCACGUAUUGAUAAUCAUGUAUUUCUUGAUGUGGCUUGGAAACUGGUCAUCUCAUGACUAUUCUACUGUUAUGUUUUCUAAUGCUUCAUCUGUGUCAUUGGAGGGAUCUGUCGUUUUAUAGGCGUUGCCUCCUUUUUAGGCCGUAGCCAAUGGAACAUAAAUGUUGAUGUGCUGUCCAUCUAGACAUCUCAAACAUCAUCUUGGAAGGCUGCAACAUCAAGACUAUGUAUUGUUUAGGCCAUUGAUUUUGCCAUGUACAGUGGUCUGCAGCCAAGAACAGCGAUGCCAUUCUGAACUGAUUCCUGUCACAUUCCAUCUGAGAUGCAUGAAGCCAUGAAAUCACAUGAUACAAAUUAUCACGGGAUGGCGUUCAAGUGGCGUCCAUGUUCUUGAUUACGCUGAUGGUGAUUAUCCUCAUGGCGCUCUUCAUACCCCAUGGAGUCUGGAAAAUGCCCAAUGCCUGGAGUUCAAGAUCAAGAAGGUUACAAGGAUGUUAGCAUGUCUUCUUCAACAAAACAGGUAGCAGUGAUUUCAUGGAGAGCGGCGGCUGUAAUGAGCUUAGACAUGCCAUGUUUGGCAAAAGUUUCCCUAUAUGGUUUAGAACUUGUAGUUUUAAUCUUUGUACACUAAUUAAGAUUAGGGACAACAUAGUAAGAUACACCCUCGCUUCCAUCAUUCCAGUAAUAUUUGUUUGAUGUCAACCGAGGAAGAGGCACAAGGGGUUAGAGGGUUGCUAGCUACCACCUACGGUAACAUGAGACAUGGACUUACCUGGAAACAAGGUAUGAAAAAUUCCGUUUUCCCAUAAUUAAUCUACAAAUGGAUGAGUGGGUCUUCCAUUCGUGAGCAUUUUUCAAGGUUCAUGUACGAAAAGAGAAGAAACAAUAAUAAACAUUAUAGCCACAUGCAUAGUUGGUGGAGCAUGCUCCCCGGACAUACCAGGCUAAUUGAUUUUCAAAAGUACUUAUGGAAAAUGACUUGAUGGAAGUAAACAACAUGGCAGCAAGGUGAUUCGAUUUUCGAUUAGUUUUGCAAAGUUCAGUUACGUAUAUUUGAAAUAAGUAACAAAUGACAUGUGAAAAAUAAGUGCAAAUCUUAUGUUUGCUAGCUACACACGUUUUUCAUGCUUUGGUGUUUUUCUCUUUAACUUUAUUGAGUGCUAGCCGUGUGUGCGUUGGGACCAGUUUGAUUUCAAUCUAAAAGGCAACAUGUUCCAGAUUAUAUCAUUAUCAAUUAUGUGCUAACAAAGAAAAAUCACCAAGUAUAUUUGUUUUUAGAAGAUUGAAGCCCUUCCGUGACCUUAGUUUUGCACCUUUUUUUGGAAGUUGUCUAUAUUCUCCAUGACCUUAUUUUUAAUUCGAUGGGAGAGAGAAAGAAAGGAUGAUGACCCAGGCCAGGUAUAAAAGAUGUAGAAAGCAUAAUAGUAGGUACUCUGGCACAAGGUAAAAUAUGCUUUUGGUGUUAUAUGUAUCAAUUCCAAAGAUAGCCAUGUCUGCAAUUAUUAAUCAGAUGAAAUAUCCAUUGCAAUGGUACAUGUGGCAACCCCCAAAAAAACUCUAACAACUCAUGUUGCAUAGAUGAAGCAAUAACCUCCAAUGAGUAAUGCUUAAAAUAAAUAAAUAGAAGACACCUCAUAGAUGAGAAUACGAAAACAAGUUGCAAUGCAUACAUAUAUCGUCCAAUCCAUUAACUAUUGAAGCAAAUAUUCCAUAGAAAACCUAUCGGUAUAACUCCAUACUUCGAAGACAUAUUUAUAUAGUCCUCUCCAUUUCAUACUAGCCCGUGCGGAUGCACGGGUGGACGACUAGUUUAAAUAAUACGUCGAAGCGUACUGAUACAAGUAGUGCAAUAAGCAAAAAAUAGGACUAUUUGACAUGUCCUAUCCAUGGGCAAGCUGCGUAUGGGUAAUAAAAAGCGGGUAUGUCGAUUGUUAUUAGAGACCACCUGAGGGUUCCCUUGUACAUCUUAGCUUCUUGCCUCCUUGGUUGUUCCUUCCCGUAAUGUGUCCGGCAAUCAUACCGCUGGAAAGGGCUUCCAGAGAGUAAGGUCUUGAAAGAGAAAAAAUGAUAAAGGUAUGCAACCCCUAUGGCGGUUAAGCCGCAUUGCGGGACGUGCCCUGAUCGUGCCCCCGCCUAUGCCCAUGGUAUUUUUAGUGCGUAAUUAUGUACGCGCGGCACGAAUUUCGUCGCUUGACUGGGACUGGGACAGGGGCCGAAUUGCUAGGCGAGCUCUAAACGUGCCAGGCGAUCCUGUUGCAGGUUACUCCGGACUCGCUUGACAGUUUCCGGGGGCUGUAUCGCCGAAUUGGCGGUUUGGCUUAAAAGGCUGCUUUGUGCUUCUACUGUGAGGGCUGUAGUGUGCUCUUCCGUGCCGAGCAAGCGUUCUGUGUUUCCAUUGACUGUUAUGACCCCCCUAUGUCCUAGCAUCUUGAGCUUGAGGUAUGCGUAAUGCGGUACCACAUUGAAUUUUGCAAAUGCGGUUCGCCCGAGCAGUGCGUGAUAGCCACUGCGGAACGUGACGAUAUCAAAGAUUAACUCCUCGCUUCGGAAGUUGUCCGGAGAUCCGAAGACCACUUCCAGUUUCAUUGAGCCCGUGUAAUGGGCCUCUACGCCUGGGAUGACGCCCUUAAAGGUGGUUUUGGUGGGUUUGAUCCUCGAGGGAUCUAUACCCAUUUUGUGCACUGUAUCCUGAUAGAGCAGGUUCAGGCUGCUGCCGCCGUCCAUAAGGACUCGAGUGAGGUGAAAUCCGUCUAUGAUGGGGUCUAGGACCAAUGCGGUGGAUCCGCCAUGACGGAUACUAGUGGGGUGGUCCCUGCGAUCGAAGGUGAUUGGACAAGAGGACCAUGGGUUGAACUUUGGGGCGACGGGCUCUAUCGCAUAGACGUCCCUUAGUGCACGCUUCUGUUCCCUCUUGGGAAUGUGGGUUGAGUACAUCAUGUUCAGCGUCUUCACUUUUGGGGGAACCUCUUCUGUUCUCCCGUGUUCGGCGGCUGGGGCUCCUCCUCGUCAUCACUAUGCAGCCCCUUGUCCUUGUUUUCAGCAUUCAACUUGCCGGCCUGCUUGAACACCCAGCAUUCUCUAUUGGUGUGAUUGGCUGGCUUAUCGGGGGUGCCGUGGAUUUGACACGAGCGAUCAAGUAUGUGAUCCAAACUGGACGGGCCCGGAGUACUUCUUUUGAAUGGAUUUUUUCGCUGACCAGAUCUAGAGCCUCUGAAUCCGGCAUUGACUGCUGUAUCAUCGGCGUUAUCGCCGUUGUUGCGGCGCUUGUGUCUGUUACGACGUGGUCUGUCGUUGCCAUCUUUAGUAUUCGAAGCGCUCGGAUUCCUUGAUGUGUUGUUGCUGCGAGCCAGCCAGCUAUCCUCGCCCGUGCAAAAGCGGGUCAUGAGUGUCGUGAGGGCUUCCAUAUACUUCGACUUCUCCUGGUCGAUGUGCCGGGCGAGCCACUCGUCACAGAUGUUGUGCUUGAAUGCAGCUAAGGCCUCUACAUCUGGACAGUCGACAAUUUGGUUUUUCUUAGUUAGGAACCGUGUCCAGAAUUGUCUGGCCGAUUCCCCUGGCUGCUGAGUUAUAUGGCUCAAGUCAUCAUCAUCCGGUGGUCACACAUAAGUGCCCUGGAAGUUGUCAAGAAAUGCGUCUUCCAAAUCCUCCCAACUGCCGACGGAGUCUGCUGGCAAGCUAUUCAGCCAAUGUCGAGAUGGUCCUUUGAGUUUUAGUGGGAGGUACUUGAUGGCAUGCAGAUCAUCACCGCGAGCCAUGUGGAUGUGGAGGAGGAAAUCCUCAAUCCAUACGGCGGGAUCUGUUGUACCAUUAUACGAUUCGAUAUUUACGGUUUUAAAACCCUCUGGGAAUUCGUGAUCCAUAACUUCAUCAGUGAAGCAUAGGGGGUGUGCGGCGCCUCUAUGUCGGGCUAUAUCACGAUGCAGUUCAUAUGAGUCUUGUCUGCUGUAUUCAGCCCGGCCGGAUUUACUUUUAGUGUAUCCGGCGUGACGGUCAUCGUCCCGCGUUGGCGCGCGCCCCCGUGACCCGUAUAUCGACCUUGCAUGUUUUGCCCUGCUUUCCCAUACGUCUCGCAGGUCCCGUGUGUUGCCCCGGGCCUUCGUAUUUUUGUUUGAGUGGCGGUGGGAUGCAGGCUGAACUUCAGGUUGAAACGCCUCUCUGGCUCGGCCACGAGGUGGCCGGUCAGCCACAUCGUACACUGGUGAUGUAGGUUUCAAUGCUUCCUCCUCGAGUCGGGGUAGCGACCUGCACUUUGGGUAACUCUUGGAGGGGCGCUCGAGUUCGUAUUCCUCGGCCGCAAGGACUUCGGUCCAUCUGUCUGCUAGCAAAUCAUGAUCAGCUCGAAGCUGUUGUUACUUUUUCUUCAAGCUAUUUUCUGUGGCUAUAAGCUGGCGCUUGAAGCGCUCCUGCUCGACGGGAUCCUCAGGAACGAUAAAUUCUUCAUCACCGAGGCUCACCUCGUCUUCGGAGAGAGGCAUGUAAUUGUCCUCCUCCGAUUCUCUAUCUGCUUCCCGCUCUGGAGGGCUAGCUUGUUCACCCUCCCGCUCUAAAUCGUGCUGGAGGGGAUUGUUGUCGUCUUCGGCACUAUCCGGAGUGUUUUUGUCCCUUGUGCCGGUAUAACUACUUUUGCUAUGGCGGGACUUAGAGCCGUUCCGCUAACGUCGGCGCUUGGGUUGCUUCUUGGAGGGGUCAUCCCCUACUGUCUCGUCGCCAUUGACUUCUUUGGGGGUGUCCACCAUGUAUAUAUGAUAUGAUGAGGUGGCGGUCCAGCGCCCUGUGGGCGGUGGUUCCUGUUCGUCUCCCGCAUUGUCGUCCAUACCGUCGAUGUCUUCGGAGUCGAAGUCGAGUAUGUCGGUUAAAUCGUCGACAGUGGCUACUAAGUGGGUGGUGGGUGUGGGGCGAAUUUCUUCGUCGUCCGCAUCCAAUUCUAGCCGCACAUAGUUCAGCCAAGGUUCUCCUGACAAGGAGAGAGACCUUAAUGACUUUAGCACGUCGCCGAAAGGUGAGUGCUGAAAGAUAUCCGCGGAGGUGAACUUCAUGAUCGGCGCCCAAUCAGAUUCGAUAGGCACGGACGCAGGCGGCUCGGAGUCCGUGGCCGGAGACGAAUCCAGUGGUUCGGCAACAUGACUCUCGUAAGGGGUGAAGUCAGUAUCCGGCUCCAUCUCCACUGAGAGUGCGGCCUCCAUGGCGGGGUCUAUCCUCCCAUCCUCGAAUGGCGCAAUUUGCUCCGGAUUGAGGGCCAGAGUAGUUGCAGGUGUGAUCUCCCGAACACUUCAGACGGCAGAGUCACGUCAUGCUCGUCGUGAUUGUGUGGUGCACCUGACAUGGGCUCGAAUCCAUCGAAGAUCAAGUCUCCGCGGAUGUCGGCAGUGUAGUUUAAGUUUCCGAACCUGACCUGAUGGCCAGGGGCUUAGCUCUCGAUCUGCUCUAGGUGGCCAAGCGAGUUGGCCCGUAGUGCGAAGCCGCCGAAUACGAAGAUCUAUCCGGGGAGGAAAACCUCACCCUGGACCGCAUUGUUACCGAUGAUCGAAGGAGCCAUCAAGCCUUAUGGUGACGGCACGGUGGAACUCUCAAUGAAAGCACCAAUGUCGGUGUCAAAACUGGCGGAUCUCGGGUAGGGGGUCCCGAACUGUGCGUCUAAGGCGGAUGGUAACAGGAGGCGGGGGACACGAUGUUUACCCAGGUUUGGGCCCUCUUGAUGGAGGUAAUAUCCUACGUCCUACUUGAUUGAUCUUGAUGAUAUGAUUAUUACAAGAGUUGAUCUACCACGAGAUCAUGGAGGCUAAACCCUAGAAGCUAGCCGAUGGUAUGAUUAUUCUUUUCCUACGGACUAAACCCUCCGGUUUAUAUAGACACGGAGGGGGCUAGGGUUACACAGAGUCGGUCACAAGGGAGGAGAUCUACAUAUCUGUAUUGCCAAGCUUGCCUUCCACGCCAAGGAGAUUCCUAUCCGGACACGGGAUGAAGUCUUCAAUCUUAUAUCUUCAUAGUCUAACAGUCCGGCCAAAGGAUGUAGUCUGGCUGUCCGGAGACCCCCUAAUCCAGGACUCCCUCACCCUCCCUGGCAGUCGGACGUCCUUAAACAACUCACACCAUGAUACAUAUCCAACGUAUCUAUACUUUUUAUUGUUCCAUGAUAUUACAGUAUCAUUCUUGGAUGUCUUAUACUCAUUUACUAGCAACUUCAUAUCAGUUUUUGGGACUAACCUAUUCACAUAGUGCCGAAUGCCAGUUGCUGUUUUCUACUUGUUUUUACUUUGCAGAAUAUCAAUACCAAACAAAGUCCAAAUGCGACGAAAAUCUUUGGAGAUUUUGUUCUGGACAGAGGACACCGAGGGAGUCAAAGAAGUGCAUCGGAGGAUGACCGUGGGACCCACUAGGCACCCGGGCGCGCCAGAAGGCCCAAGCGCGCCCAGGUGGGUAGUGGGCACCACGGGAAGCUUCUCCACUGACUCUGGCUCCAUAAAUACUGUAAAAUCCCAAAAACCCUAUGGGAGUCGAUGAAACACAAUUCCAGCUGCCGCAAAUUCCAGAACCACGAGAUCUAAUCUAGAGGCCAUUUCCAGCACUCUUCCGGAGGGGGCAAAGAUCACGAAGGGGUUCUUCAUCAUCACCCUUGCCCCUCUAAUGAUGCGUUAGUAGUUUACUACAGACCUAUGCGUCCAUAGGUAAUAGCUAGAUGGCUUCUUCUCUCGUUUUGAUCUUCAAUACAAUGUUCUCCUCGAUGUUCUUGGAGAUAUAUUUGAUGUAAUGACUUUUUGCAGUGUGUUUGUUAGGAUCCGAUAAAUUGUGAGUUUAUGAUCAGAUCUAUCCAUGAAUAUUGUUUGAGUCUUUGCUGGACUCUUUUAUGCAUGAUCUUUAUAGCCUCGUAUUUCUUCUCCGAAACUUCGGUUUGGUUUGGCCAACUAAAUUAAUUUUUCUUGUAGUGGGAAGAGGUGCUUUGUCAUGGGUUCGAUCAUGCGGUGCUCAAUCUCAGUGACAGAAAGAGACAUGACAGGCAUGUACUUUGCUAUUAAGGAUAACAAGAUGGAGUCUAUUCCUACGCGAAUAGAUCUUGUCUAGAUCAUGUCAUCGUAUUUAUUGCAUUACUCCGUUUCUCCAUGAACUUAAUACACUAGAUGCACACUCGAUAGCGGUCGAUGUGCGGAGGAAUAGUAGUAGGUGCAGAAUCAUUUCGGUCUACUAAUCUGGGAUGCGAUUCCUAUAUACAUGAUAAUUGCCUUGGAUAUCAUCAUAAUUAUUUUCUUUUCUGUCAAUUGCCCAACAAUAAUUUGUUUACCAACCGUACACUAUUUUCUCGAGAGAAGCCUCUAGUGAAAUCUACGGCCCCCGGGUGUAUUUCCUAUCAUAUUAUUUUCAGAUCAAUUUAUCCAAAAACCCAAAAAUACCUUGUUGCACUUUUUAUUUCUUUAUUUUAUUUUGUGUUUUAUUAAUAUCUAUUUAUCAAAUAUCAUAUAAUUUAAUCUAUCUCAAUACCGAGGAGGGAUUGACAACCCCUCUUACGCGUUGGGUUGCAAGUUUUUCUUGUUUGUGUGCAGGUGUUGUUUACAUAGUGUUGGGGAUAUGACUAUUGGAUAUGACCUGCCCAGGAGGGGCCGGGUUAUAUCAAUGUCAGUUCAUCUAAACAGAGCCCGUAAGUAUGUUGAAGAUGGCGGUUCAUGAAGUAGGCUUGUUAAAGGGCCCAAGCCCGAAGGCGGCUUAAGGCCCCACUACAAAAAAAGACACAUCCGUGACAUUUUAGGCCGAACGAAAUUUUUUUCUAUCAUACAUAUGACACUUCUAUGACGAUAAUUAUGACAAAACCCGGUAUCAUCAUAGAUGUGGUGAGCUCCUACUUCUAUGACAAAAAAUCAUGACAGAAAAUGGGCUUUUCGUCCUAGGCGGGCCGGAGACGCAGCUGCAUGACAUUCUUUGGGCCGUACAUGACGGAAAAACCAUGGUAGAAGCGAGGGGUAGGAAAAUUUUAGGGAGUUCCCGGUUACGGUGGGAGGUCGGGGGCCAAGCGAUGCGCGUUUCUCUCGUACACGUACGCGCGUGUGUGCGAGGCGUUGGCUCUAACUGAACCCGAGCGAGGCGUUGGGCUCUAACUGAACCCGAGCAAUUGCACUGUAGGCUACGCGUUACUGAACCCGAACAAUCGACCGAUGGCUGUUAACUGAACCCGAUCGAGUGAUUCCUUCGCUACUGCUGCUAACUGAAGCCGAUCGAUUGGAUGAACAGUNNNNNNNNNNNNNNNNNNNNNNNNNNNNNNNNNNNNNNNNNNNNNNNNNNNNNNNNNNNNNNNNNNNNNNNNNNNNNNNNNNNNNNNNNNNNNNNNNNNNNNNNNNNNNNNNNNNNNNNNNNNNNNNNNNNNNNUGAGCGGUGGCGUUGCCUCUGGAUGAACAGGACCCCGUGGUGUGGUGGAGGGCUGGAUGAACAGUAGAUGAUGGAGGGAUGCCCGUGGAGGGGUGGUUGAAUAGGACCCCGUGGUAUGGAGGGCUGGAUGAACAGUAGACGGUGGAUGGGUGCCCGUGGAGGGGUGGUUGAACAGUAGCCGGUGGAGUAGCGCGCGGUGGAGGCUGGAUGAACAGGAGCCCGUGGAGGCUUGAGGAGGUCGACGGUAGCCCCUGGAGGCUGGAGGAGGUCGACGGUGGAGAUGAACAGUAUCCCGUGGAGUCCCGUUUUGCGGUACGCCACACCCCUCCCGAUGAACAAGACCCCUGUUUCGACCGUAGGAGGUCCGUUUCGUCCGUUUUGCGGUACGCCACACCCCUCCCGAUCAACAGGACCCCCAUUUCGACCGUAGGAGGUCCGUUUCGUCCGUUUUGCAGUACGCCACACCCCUCCUGAUCAACAGGACCCAUGUUUCGACCGUAAGAGGCCCGUUUCCUCCGUUUUGCGGUAUGCCAGACCCAUCCCGAUCAACAGGACCCCGUUCCGAAUGUAGGAGGUCCAUUUCCUCCGCUGUGCGGUAUGCCAGGCCUUGUUUCCAUCGCCUGAUCCGUCCAAGCCCUCCCGAUGAACACGGCCACACAUUCUGUUCCGACCCAGCCGGUUGGCUCCCACGCGUUCCGUUGCCUCCUGAUGAACACGGCGCAUUCCAUUGCCUCCCCAUGAACACGACGCAUUCCGUUGCCUCCCCAUGAACAUGACGACGACGUUGUUUCUCCGUUCCGACCCAGCCAUGUACACGAGCCCUGGCCGUACGUAUGCGCGAGUAUGCGUUCGAGACCCCGCCCGUAUGUACACAUACGUGGCCGUAUUUUCUUUCUUGCACCUUGGCCGAUGUACGUACGUGUACAUGCUACGUGCGCGCCUCUACUACGACACAUACGCGCCUCUACUACGACACGUGUGCGCCUCUACAUCCACCAGUAUAUAUGUAGGUACACGUUCGCGACCAGAAUGACAAUGCUACAUACGCUUCGACCAGGUGGUUCCCAGCUGUCAGGUACUUCCUUGCCUGCGAAGAUGUAGCUGGUGGGUCCCAGUAGUCAGGGGGGCGAAUAGUUUUUUUUGCCCAGACGCACUUCCUUGCGUGCGAAGAUGUAGCUGGUGGGUCCCAGCAGUCAGGGGGAAACAUUUUUUUGUGAAAUACAGUGGCCCAUCUGGUGGGUCCCAGCUGUCAGAUGGAGGAAUCAUUAUUUACCGUGUAAUAAGGAGACACUUCCUUGCUGCGGCCGUGGACCCAGCUGUCAGCCUCUCCACGUACAAUCCACGUCCGAUGGAAGUCGUUCCUUGACCACGUUGACCACGCCGCACCGAGAGCACAAGGGCGGUGGAUGAUGGUGAGGCCUAGGAAGGGGACGACGGGGAGCUAGGGAAGACGUGGCAGUGGAAGCCCGCACGGAGAGGAGUGCGCUGGUUCACUGGUUUGGCUGUGGUGUGAGGCUGCCGUCGCCGCAGGUCCUGGCCAGCGGUGGGAAUAGUAGGGGGCGGUGAGGCCUCCGCGGCAGGACAGCCGGCCACGGGAGGCAGGAGCAUGCGGCACGACCGGCGCUGCUUUGGGCGGCUGGAGCAAGAAGACCAGAGGUUGAAGAAGCACUACGUCCGUUGGAUGGACAUCGUACGGUCACUGGAGCUAGAAUCGUUCAUAUUGACUAAAGUUGACAAAGGCCCCCGUCCCAGUCAACUUAGUAGGCCCACAAGUCAGCCUCCCACCAUGGUGGGUCCCAGCUAGCAGGGGGAGUAUUCAUUUUUUUGUGCGUAAUAAGGAGGCACUUCCGGUGGGUCCGAGCUGACAGCGGGGGGACCGUUUUUUUCGCAAAAUACGCUGGCCCAUCCGGUGGGUCCCAACAGUCAGGGGGAAACAUUUUUUCGCGAAAUAAGGUGGCCCGUCCGGUGGGUCCCUGCUGUCAGGUGGAGGAAUAAUUAUUAUGCGUGUAAUAAGGAGGCACUUCCUUGCGGCCGCCUGGACCUAGCUGUCAGCCUCUCCACGUACAGUACUCUUUCGAUGGAAGUCGGUCGUUGACCACGUUAAGCACACCGCGCCGAGAGCACCAGGGCGGUGCUCUGGACAACGGCGAGGCCUAGGAAGGGGACGAUGCGGAGCCAGGGAAGACAUAGCAGUGGAAGCCCGCACAGAGAGGAGUAUGAGGGUUCACUAGUUUGGCUGCGGUGUGAGGCUGCCAUCGCCGCAGAAUAACAGGGGGUGUGGGUGAGUAGAGGGAUGGCCUGGCCAACGGUGGGAAUAGUACGGGGCGGUGAGGCCUCCGCGGCAUCACAGCCGGCCACAGGAGGCAGGAGCACGCGACACGACCGGCGCUGCUUUGGGCGGCUGGAGCAAGAAGACCAGAGGUUGAAGAAGCACUACGGCCGUUGGAUGGACAUCGUACGAUCACUGCAGCUAGAAUCGUUUAUAUUGACUAAGAUUUUUUUGAGGCAAGUUUAUAUUGACUAAGUUGACAAAGCCCUUGGUACGGGUCAACUUAAUAGGCCCACAGCUCGUAUUUGGCAGAGAACAUAUAGCCCAUUUGCGAUUUGUAAGAAUGUACAUCCCACUUUUUAAUUCUAAUGGAAUUUAGUACAGCCCAUUUACAGUUUGUUAAAAGUACAAUCCAACUUCUAGCUAGUACAACGAUUAAUAAU
RNAcentral lists this long non-coding RNA (69758 nucleotides) under Triticum aestivum (bread wheat). Its description in RNAcentral is "long non-coding RNA (TAES_LNC015344)". Lineage: Eukaryota; Viridiplantae; Streptophyta; Magnoliopsida; Poales; Poaceae. The record is from RNAcentral.